Molecule: long non-coding RNA, 84801 nt
Filed under: Eucalyptus grandis
Lineage: Eukaryota; Viridiplantae; Streptophyta; Magnoliopsida; Myrtales; Myrtaceae
Description: long non-coding RNA (EGRA_LNC000723)
Source: RNAcentral
AUUUAAGUCCCAUGUAAGCCUUGAUCAUUACAUAGAGCAACCAAACCUGUCAUAGAAGCAGCACUAGUUUACCUUGCUUGAUAAUAUUUCAAGACAACAUUUUGACUACUGGUAAUUUUAAGAAAGGCGUACAUCAUAUAUGACAGACUAGCCAAAACUACUUUAACAUUUCGAAAUCACCAACCAAAAAUACACUAAUUCUCGUUCAAGAAAAAGACCCUACAUAAACUCCAUCCACACUAGAGACUCAGACAAACCUUUGAUCGAGAAUUUGCAUAAAACAACUCGAUACUCCACUCCAGACCCCAGUACUUGAUCGAGAAUUUGCCAAGCGGCGAGAGCUCCAUGCAUCCACCUGAGAGAAUCUGGAGGGGGAAAAGUACUGCUGCUCUUCAAGAACGAACUGGUCUCUCUACUUGGUUUUAGGUAUGAAAGUGUACAUGGCUGUGUCUCUUCUGCUUUUAGAUUCAUGCUUAAAUAAAUCAAGUUUGAGAUAAUACGGCCAAAGCAAUUACAAAAUGCCUACAUAUGAAUUUUCCGACCUAUCCAGCCUAGAGAGAUGAUUUUACACUAAUGAACGCCCAUAUUUUGUGUUCUAAAUUCUUCCAAAUGAGAAACUGCUGUCUUCUUGAAAACCUUUCCAUUGAAUCUCUUGGCUGCAAUUGACAGAUCAUUUGCUGAUUCCUCGGCAUUUGCUUUUACAAGAAAAAAGUCUCUCCCGGUCACAAAACUGUAGCUUGAAGUGGACAUCUAAAUGGUAAUCUUGAUAACAAAUCUCAUUUUUUGCUUGACUUCACAUACAGAACCACUUGCACAUGCAGUCUUCCUCCAAGCAAUUAGUGAUGGGUCCUUGGUUAAAGAAUAGCACGAUUUCAAAGCUUGUAAAGGACUAAUGCACCACAUGAGAAGAGGUCACCUUUAUCAAGAAUCCUUCAAAGAGUAUUAACAACAUGGAGCAAAUGAUAAACGCCAAUUGCAAAUAACUCUGGAAUGCCUUUCCAUACUGACAUAGCUCAUUCUUGCCCAUAUCUCCAACUCGUGGUGUUUGGGGAGUUUCUCCAGGUUUCAUCAAAUGCAGCUUUAAUCUGCAUAAGGAAGAUAACACUGACUAAUUAUAAUUAAAUGAAGAUAUCCAAGAUCAUAGCAUUAGAAUUUACCCCAUGAUAGAUAAGGUAAAAAUGCGUAAACAUUGAUACCAAUCGGAGUUAGACCACAAUGAACAGAGACUUCAUUAGCUAGCCGAUGAAAAAGAAACCAACAAACUUAAAAGAAGUAACAUUUAGCAACACUUUCCCUGUUUGUAUUUACGAACAGAAUUGAAGCUAAAAAAAUUAUGCUGAAAAGGUGAAGUGCCUAAACUACUGAACAGAAAGACGCAUUUGCCACUGGGUUAUUUUGCAAGUUCCAAUUAGCAAACUCAGCAAUGCGGGAUAGUUUGCGAGGAGGUCAAUUUCAACUUUACAAAUCCAAUGCCGCAUACAUCAGAACUGAGCUCAUCAAAUCAGAAAACUAUAUGACAACAUUCAAAGGAUGUCAUCACACCAAUAAACUAAUAGAAAUGGAGGAGCCUAGCAGUGCAUACCUCCCUUUCAGAGCCUCAUCAAUUCCGAAGUGAUAUCAUUAGAAUGCAACGGCGUCGAACAACUGUGCAUCAGGGUAACAUACAAAAAAUCAAUAGCCUAGUAAUUGAUUAAAGGAGAGCUAUAAUCUAAUGAGCAUAAAGAAAGCAUAUUUAAUUGAAAAAAAUACAUUUACUAUCCUUUAGGGAUGUGAUGUUGAGAUCAGAUCAAGUAUUUGAAUAUUCAGAAGCAUCAAAACUUCCUUGGGACACUCCAGUCAGCCCCAAAGUGUCUUUAAGUUUGGCAUGCAAGAUGGUCCUCAGCUGUUACUGAUGAUUCCUCUGCAAAAUCCCUUUUCUUUAUUUUGAUCGAUCUCAAGUAUGCAAUUUGAAGUUCCUCGGCCCACUUAGCCACACCCAAAUCAGUCACGUGAUAAAGCAAUUCCAUGACAACAAUAGGAUCAAACGGGAUACAAACUAAUUAGCAAAUUCUUGAGCUCCUCAUCCCAGCUUGUUUCACAGAUAGGCAAAAAAUUGUCCUUUAAUGCAAAAGGCCAUCGAUACAGUUGAUUGAAUUGAAGUCCCAAAGUAAGCCUAGAUCGUUAUAUAGACCAACCAAACCUGUCAUAGAAGCAGCACCAAUUUGCCUUGCUUAAUAAUCUUUCAAAACAAUAGUUUGCCUACUGGUAAUGUUAAGGUGGUCAACAUUCAUACACGACAAACUAGCCAAAACUACUUUUAACAUUUUUUUUGUCACCAACCAAAAACACUCAAACCGUGAAUUUAAUUUUAGCUCAGUUCACCAUAUAUACUGGGAAGUGAUGCUCUUCUUAGAGGGUUAAUGAGGGCCAUCAAGGGAACAAUAAGAAACUUGACAGGGUUUUCGUUCAUCACAGAAAAUCAGAAGGCGUUCGUCCUAAACAGGACAUCUGCCAUUAGUCAAAUUUGACAUACAAAAGAACUAAAGGAACUCAAAAUGGCCAAGGAUUUUGAAAAGAAAAUAUGAACUUUGGACACUGGGAAAUUUCGAGUUUAGUAUACAAUAAUACAAUAAUGAGUAGCAGAAGUUCAUUGGCCUCUAGAUGAAAAUUUCAAAUCCUGGGUUUGCUAAUAGGGGAACUGUAAAUCACUAGGUAAUUCUUGUUUACCUUUGUUGAUAUUUUCAUUAUUGCCUCGCAAGCUGCUAUCUGUUUGCAGUCUACAGAAGCUGCCAAUGGAAGGAUAAAUGAAAAACAUUGCUAUAAUGUAAUCAACAACAAUUAUACAAAGGAAAAUUUAGAGUUUCCAAAAACAAUCAAAUAGAUAUCCAGUGUGAAGCAUAUCAUUCUAAAAAAAUACAGCUUCGAGAAAAGUAUCACUAUUUGUUCACGCUGGCCAUUCAAAGGAUGGAGUAUCUUACUAUGCCUUCUAUUGACAUCAGGGUCUGCAUUUUGAUCUUGGCUAAAGCAUCAUGUCAGCUUCUACGACCAACUGCCCCACUCCUUUCAAUUAUGUAAGAAUAGCAAUUUAGGAAAGUACAGAACCCCAUUGCAGAAAACCUUCUUGUCAAAAGAAGAUAGUGAUGAAAUGUAGGUCAUGAAUCUCAGACGAAAAAUGAUUGUUCACUGCUUAUUUACCUCUAUUCAGGAAACAUCACUCCAUCAAUCAAAAGACAGAUCUUGUUCAUAAUUUCUAAAGAUGCGAGUUCCAAAUAAGUUCGGUGUUGCUUCCAAUGAGUCACAACCAGAAAUAUCCAAAUCAAUUAAAUUCAACUUUUCAAGUCCCUGAAGCUGUGUAAGUUUCUUGCAGUCUCGAACUCUUAGAGAUCGUAACUUCACACAUCUCGUCAAAUCUGGCAAAGUCUCCAUUGAUUUACAUCCUGUAAAAUCCAACUCUUCUAAGAACUCCACACGGCCAAGACCUAUUAUUUCGACUAGAUUGUCGCACCCAACAGCCACUAAUUUCUUCAAACACCGUGAUAUUGGACCAAAAAAACUUUUAAUGGAAUUGCAGUCAUAUAAAAAUAUGACCUCCAAGGACUCCAAAGCUAUAUUUGAUCCAAUAAUUAAAACUAGGCUAUUGCAAUGCUCAACACGUAAUCGUUUCAGAUGAAUCAAUCCUGAAAGGCCCAAUGUUUUAAUGGAACUGCACUUUUUAAUUGAAAGCUCUUCCAAGUGCAUGAAUCCGCUGAGCCGAAGUAAUGUUAGGUUAUCCCACUCCUCAAAACAGAGUUUCAAUGGUAUUGAGGAAAGCUCGUGGAUGUCUUCGAGUAUAUGGCAUACCUCAAGAUGGAGUUUUCUUAGGUGGAUGAGGCUAAAAAGCUGUGGCAGUGUAAGGCUCUGACAAGUGACCGACAGAUUUGUUAAGCCCGAAGGAAGCCUUGGCAGCAACCGGAGCUCCUUACAGCCGUUUAGUUUGAGGCGUCGGAGAGAAGAAGGAAGCUCUGGCAGCAACCAGAGCUCCUCACAGCUCCCUAGGUCAAGGCGUUGGAGAGAAGAAAGAUUCCGGACGCUUUCUGGCAGGUCAAAUAUCGGUGUUGCAUAGAGAUUGAGAAUCUCAAGGGAAGGCAAGUCACCGAUUUCACUUGGAAUUGCCCCUUUCAAACUAGUGCACCAGAUCAUUUCUAGAGUCCGCAGAUUUUUCAACCUUCCAAUAGCACUGGGAAGCUUUUCGAUCUCAGAAUUACUCAAGUCCAGAUGUUGCAAAUUCUGUAAAUCCCCAAUUGAGCUAGGGAUUUCUCUUAGUGAAUAACAUUCGCAGGCAGUCAGUUUCUCCAACUUCCUCAGAGAACCAAUGGACAUAGGAAUCUCUGUAAUACCAGAAAGAUUUAAUAUAAGUUCUUCUAAAUCUUUUAAUUCGCGCACCUCUUCUGGUAGCUUUUUGAGACUUCUACAGUGAUUCAAAUCUAAGGAAACGAGGCUCGUGAGUUUGCCAAUAGAAGGGUGGAGAUCCUCUAGGUUGUAACAUCCGAACAAGAUGAGAAUCUUCAACUGUGUAAAAGCCGAGAGAUCAGGAGUACAUCUUAAAUUUUCGCAAUUCGUAAGGUCGAGAACUUUAAGCCGCUUUGACGCCUAAUACGAAAGAGAAUAAACUGUUAAGGAAGGAGUUGAUUGGCUAAACAAAAACAAAACCCUAAAAUCGCAGAGAUAAUGUUCUUCUUCUCCUAAUCUUACCAUGAACAAACUCCAUCCUUCCCAAUCCUCUGUGAUCUGUUCCCAUGAUGAUAACCACAACACCGAUAAAUUCGGUAGAUGCAAAUUGAUCGGUAGAAAAAACAAAUCGCGAGGACGGACCUGAAGCCAUCUCACUGAAAAGAGUUCCAUGGAGUCUUUGCUUGAAGCUGCCCCGAGAAAGUUGUGGAAACAGGGGCGUCUCUGCAAGUUUUUUAACUUUUUAGUUUUCGCUUUUUUAAAUCUUGGAUUUGCACGAUUGAUACCUUUUUAUCCUUCCCCUGUACCUUUUGACGACCUUUCGAAAAUUAAACAAAUGACGUGAAGAUAAAGAAAAAGAUAGUUAUUGCUUUAAAACAACUAAGACAAAUGCACCUCAAUGUUUUAUCCCUUGCUUUUUUCUUUAUCAAAUUUUGUAGCACGUAUAUUUUGACUUUCAUUUAAGAUGAAAUACGAGAAACCAUUUUACAACGUAUAAAUAUUUACUUGUAAAUUUUCAUAAGACUUCUCCAUCAUUUCUCUAAAGAACGUGUCAAAGAGUGCCAGUGGGCCACUUGUAAGUAGCUAAGGAAGCACCCGGUUUCCAUUUCAUUAGUUAAAUGUAACAAUGUGGAAGAGGAAAAAAGGGGGAAUUUUUAAUUAUAUUCCGAUAUAUAUAAAGAAGAUUACAUGGUGGAAAAUCAAAAGAAAUCAAAAAUGAUAUGCAUAAUCAAAAUGGAUAUAAAAAAUCAAGAGAAAUAUCCUAAAUAUCUCUAAAAGAUAUCUAAAUAUCUUUAACAUCAUUAACUAUUUGUGUGAAGUGUUCACUCAUUCUUUGAAAAUUGAAACUUUUUUAUUUUUGGUAAAAUAUGUUUAAAAAGUGACACGGUGACAUUGGUUAGCAGUUUUGACAGGGAUUGAAAAAAUAAGUCGAUUUCAUAACUAAAACAUGAACCGGUUAACUAAAAAGUGACGUAGUGACAUUGUUUAAUCAUCAUAUGUCCGUUUCCAUAAGAACGGAAUCGUUCCUUUUUCCAUCUUAUAAAUAAAAAAACAUAUUGUUUAACUUUCCUACUAAAACAUAUCAUUUAAUUAGUUGAAGAUGGUGAAAAAUAAAUUCCCUUAUGGCUUUAAUUGACUUUAAUAAGAAUACCUACAUUUUCCCCCAAAAGUUUUUUUUUUUUGGUCGGUUUGACACAUUUGUCGUUGUCUGCUUCAAUAUUAACCAGUGAAAUGCAAUGGGUAUAAGUUCUAUUAAGUCUAUUUGUCAAAGAAGUCGCUAAAUUGUUGUAAUCACCAUCCCAUGCUAUCUUUCAUAAUUUUCGCUUGUACAUCGAUCUAUACUGUGUAUUACAUAAAAAAAUCUACUGUAUGAAAAGGGAAUUUCAAACAUCAAACUCUCCUCAAAAGUUUUCACACAAUUCGUAUAUAUUUCACCAAAAUGAACUAAAGAAUUAGGAUAUAACAAAAUAGACAUAAUCAUAUUUGAAAUAGUCAAGAAAAUUGGAAAUUAAUCCCAUUAUUAUUUCAAUUUCCAAAGUUAAAUCAAAAUCUGUCGAAUUGUACAAUCAUUUAAUUUUUUUUCCGACACUAUUUAUCCACUUUCAGCAUUUUUGUCCAUUCAAAACAGAAUUGACUUUUCUUUUUCAUUUUUCCAAACACAAGUAUGGUGUGCUCUUUUUGCUAAUGUUAAGAAGUUAUUGGAUCAACAAAAGACUGUGACAUUAAAUCAUAGGAAUGAACUAUUUCAAAUUAUAUCAAGAAUAUAAAGCUGCUUUAUUUGCCCAACAUCUCUUAGUCAAUUUCUAGGGUUAAUUCCUCUCCAUUGAUCAGCCGUGACCCUAUGACGCUUAUCAGAUGGACAAUAUAUAAUAAAAUGACAUGAACAUUGAUAAUUUAAGUAAAAGAUAAAAGAAUCUUAUUGUUUUGAAUUAAUUAUCAGUUAUUGUAAUUGGCACAUACUAUCUUCUUUUUUAACCGAGAAAUCUUCAUUUAUUUGAUUUACAAUGUUUUUACUUCAUCUACAUUCGUUCUUGUAGUCCUUCAGAUUAUCAAUAUUUUCAACUAGAUAUGACAAUGGCAUGCUUUUAGUAAAUGAGUUUUAUAGAGCAAAAUUGUAGUUAAAAGAUCUUAAAUUGAUUGUCAAGCGAAUUUUUACAUAUGUAAUUUAUAUUAAUGAGAUCGAAUCAAAUGGUAUAACUUUUUCAUCCUUUAAAUACUUAUAAUCCAUUUAGCUGUCACAAAUAAUCUAAGAUGGACAUACAUGGAUGUUUACAUAGAUCUUUUUUCCUAAUAAGUAAGAGCAUCUAUUCAUCCUCGAUGAAAUAUUAGAAUAGAUCAGAUUAAAUAUAUUGAAAUAAGAGGGAAAGAAAAAGAAAGGAGUGCCAUAUUUUACCCAUUCAUUAAUUCUUAGUACUUUUGGGACUCCCUCGUAGUCGUCAUCCCAUGGUCCGCUAUGUUUCUCAGGCGAUUGUCCUUGGCAAAAAAUACUCCUUCCAAGAUCUCUCAAUUGAUCAUGCAUCUCAAAUUGACCAUAAUUUCCAAUCUUAAUCUCUCAAUUGAUCAUGCAUCUCAAAUUGACCAUAAUUUCCAAUCUUAAUUAAGCACCUCAACUUCAGCUCUUCAAUACCUUGACUUGGAUAAAGCCCACAGUCCUCCCACAUGUACAUGGCGUAUUUGGCGUAUUCACUCCUUUCGCCAAUAAAGAAACAAACAAUAUCGAGAAAAAUCUGCUUAUGUCCAUCUUCUAAUGCAUCAUAACUUAUUUGCAAUAUUUUUUGGACGUCUCUAUGCAGUUGGCUUUUUAACUGCUUUCGCACAUCUUCCCAUACUUUUCGAUUCGGUUUUUUAUACAAGUAUGAACCUACGACCUUAAGUGCCAAGGGAAGCCCACCCAUGGUGGAUACAAUAUCACGAGAUAGACCCUCAAAGUCCUUCGAAGAAUGGUCCAUAUAAAAUGCAUGUCUAUUAAACAAAAGCAAAGCAUGCUCUUGAUCCAAUUCAUUCAAAUCAUACUUGUGUACAUUGAAUUCAGAUUGAUCAAGAAUGGCUUUAUAUCUGGUUGUAACAAUAAUAAUACUUCCCGCCAUAAACCAAUUAUGUUCUCUAGCCAAAGCAUUUAAUUGAUCCUCGUGAUCUAUAUCAUCCAGAAGAAUGAGAACAUUUUUUCCUUUGAAACUAGAUUUGAUCAAACUAAUUCCAUCAUCAACAUUCCCAAAUUUAGGUUCAAUUUUCGGAAUGUCCUCAAUUAGUUGCUUUUGUAAACAAACAAUAUUGUUGUGGCAAGCUGUUUCUCGAAUAUUUGCAAGGAAGCUACGAUGCACAAAGUCCUUUAACAGCUGGUUAUAGAUUACCUUGGCAAGAGUUGUUUUUCCAAUCCCACCCAUGCCAUAGAUUCCAAUCAUUCGAGCAUUAGUGGUAGGAGCAUCUACCCAUUUCAUGAUUCUGUUCACAUGAUCAUCUAUUCCAACUAAGUGCUUAGUAACAUCAAGCUGAAAAUCUUGUCGCAACUUGCUCAGAACAUUUUCAAUUACUUUUUUCACUAAUUCUCCUUCAUACCUGUCCAACAAAAAAACUCAUUGAUAAUUUCGUGAUUAUACUUAAUCUCAUCAAAAGGCACCGAUAGACGUGAAGAAUGGAUGGGACCAAUUAACAUGCAAGAUGUUUUGGUUUUACAAAUAACAAUGGGGGAUGAUGGCCAGCAGUCAUUUCAUUUUUUCUUCUCUCUUUUGCUAGAUGGAUCUUGUUGAAAGAAAAUAAGGAGGUGCACUUGGCUCGUUAAGAGUCUUUAGUAAGUGUAAUGUUUGUUACAAGGCUUAUUAUUGGUGCUAGUUAAAUGGUAGGAGGCCAAUUUUGUUUUAAUUAAAGAAGUUUAGAAUAAAAGUAGGUUACUCCACUCUAAGGCCAGGGCUUCUCACAUGCUAAAAUUGAGGACUUAUAAUUGAUUUACAAAUCGCUACCAAUGGGGUCUACUGACUGUGGAAAUCAAACCUAGACAUGGUAAAUGUGAAGUGUCCGGUUCUUUUCACUUGAGCCAACUUCCAUUCGCAUGAGGAGGUCUAUUUUAUCUGGUGGUGAUAAAGCUUUGAAAUACUGAGCAUUCAAGUCCUCUCUAAGCGUAUUGUUUGGUGAUUGACACGAUUGGUCGGAGGGGUUGUCAUUUCUUUGAUUUUUGCUUUGUUGGAGACAAUUGUAUUUCAUCUAUUUCGCAUGAACAAGAAAAUUUACUGGAUAAUUACUAAAAUAAUCCUAAAUUUAUUAUAAUUGUGCCAAUUCAGUCUUAAAUUUUUUUCAUGGCCAAUUUAGUCCUAAACAUUUUGAAAAUAUGUUGAUGUAAUCUAUCUAGCCAAUUUUGAUUAGAAAUCACAAAUGUAAACACCAACCGUCUUACAUGGCACAAUCAGUAUUGACGUGAAUAAUUUUUAUAAUUUUUUAUAAUUUUUUCUGAAUUUUGUUGGAUUUGUUUAUAUUUUUUUUUUCCUUUCUCUUCUUUUGUUUCCCUCCUUCCUCUACGAUCGCCGGCCAUAGAUGACAGCCGCCUCACCGUGAGGGCUGACCUCGCCAGAAUCUGGUCCUUCUAGUGGUCCUAUAGAGAAUCGCAAGGAGGGAGAGACUGAGAGUUUUUCCAACAAGAGAGGGCCAUCGUUGGGUCGGAUGAGGAGGUUCACAAGCAGCCAGAACGUGCUGGCAAACUUCAACUGGACGACGCAGGUGGCGUCGGUGGACGCAGGAGAGCAGAGGAACUGUUACUUUGGCAACAAAGACAGACGACGAGCAAGAUGAUGACGACGGCGACGAAGUGGUGAUUCCAUUUUCGGCCCCCAUUUUGGUAGGUGGAGUGGAGUCGAAGGCGAAGAAGGAAUUGAAUCUGUGGAAGAGAAGGACAAUGGCUCACCCUCAGCCACCUUGCUUGCGACAUCCCCAAUUAUUCUGCAAAUGUAAUCGUGUUCUCGAAUGAUUGUGCUCAUGGAUUCCCAAUUUCUGACGUUUUUCCUUCUUUUUUUUUUUUUUUUUUGGGGGAUUUCAGUUUGGGUUGGCCUCACCUCUUCAAAAGGACCAGAUUCCAGCGAGGUCACCCUUGUCAGAUGCGGCGAGGGCAAGCCUCACCAACCCUCGUUUGUGGCCUGUCACCCUUCAUCAAGGAGGCUGCAGCCAGAGUGGAAGAAGAAAAAAAAAUAAAAACUAAAAAUUUCGGAAAAAUAAUAAAAAAUUAUUUAAGUUAACAAUUUUCAGCUGAAAUUGACCGAAUGACUAUAUUGGCAAAUUUUCAGAGGGUCUAGGAUUAAUUUGACUGAAUAAAAAUGUUUAGGACUGUAUUGAUAUAAUUACAAUAGAUUUAAGAUUUUUUUGGUAAUUUUCCAAACACUUACUUAUCAAAAAAGAAAAGUUAAGGUGGAAGCAAAGUACCCGUUAGCAACUUUCUCGGACUCCCAUCCAUGUAAGUAACUCACUUCUUUGAGUGCUUGCUGCCCUUUCUGGAUAUCCUCCUCAUCAAAAUACUUCUUACGUGAAUGGAAGGCCUUCCCAAAACUUCCUUUUAGAUGCCGCACAUCCGAUGGAUCCACUUUAUAAAAGAUGGGCAAAACUAUGUGUGAUGUGCUCUUUGCGCGAUCCAUGAUAUGAAUAAGCUCGCGAAGGCACCAUUUGCUUGAAGCAUAAUUGUUGGAGAUGAUGAGGAUCGAAAUCUUAGACCGAGCGAUGGCAUCAAGAAUCCGUGGACCGAAUUCCUCGCCAAUUGGAAUGCUCUUAUCAUCCCUGAACACGAAAACCGGUACAAUCCCCGCCUUGUCUAGACUCUGGUAGAGGUGAUCGGCGAAUCCCUUACGGGUAUCUGACCCUCUAAAGCUCAAGAACACAUCAUAAUGAUCAUUACCUUCUCCCGUGGGUGUUGGAGAUAUGAAUGAAGGUGUGGGUGCUCUCUUCUUCUUCUUGAGAAGAUUGAAUGCAAGCACACUGAAAAGAAUCGUCGUGGUAAGCACCGCGGAAGAACGCCCCAUUAUGAAAGGGUGCAUCCUUUUGUUUGUUACGGUGUGGCUCUGCCCUUUUGUCUAUGGCAAUCUGAGGGGGAAAGUUGGGAAGAAAGAUGCUCUUCUGCUGCAUAAAAGGAUUAAUAACUAGUCUCUAUCAAGUAUGAACAAGUAUGAACAUGAAAUCUUUUACCAAGCAAGAAAAAAUAAACAUGAAAUCUUUAAUUAAUUAGUAUUUGAUUGACUACGAGCAGUUGCAUGCGUUUAGUCAUUGCGUUAUCUUCUUUUGCACAUCAUUCUUUAGUCAAGUCAAUCUUGUUGGCUUUGGUCCCCUCACGUAUAACGUGUACAUUAAUUUCUUAAUUGGGCUAUAAAACACUAGAAUCUAUGUACAAGUAUAUUGCAUUCAUUCAAAAUUACACAUAGUGGUUCAGUUGUUACUUGCUUAUUGAAAAUAAGAUUUUGAAAACUCAUUUUUUUGUCAAAGAAUUUCAUAAAUCAUUUAAAAGCUGAUAACUGAAUUGAGACAAAAUUGGCAAUGUGGGGGAGGACGUGAAGAAAGGACCUAGCUAGUAAUUAUGAAUGCGAUUUUAAAUUUAAUUUUGCCAUAGAUUUCUCCUCCUGCACAGCACAAAGCCUCCCUUCUCCUUGUUUAUCUGCUCCUCUCGCCGACACAUUCUCUCUUCCCCUUCUGUCCUUUCGUUUUUUCCUUUCUUUUCCUUUCUUUCUCCUUUCUUUUCCUUUCUUUCUUCUCUUCUUUUCCUUUUUGACUCUAAUGUAUUUUCUUCUUCUUUUUCUCAUCAUUUCAAACUCCAAUUCACCUAAGAUUACUACCUUUCCACCAAAUCACUUUUCACUUUUGACCGCAUUUUACUGUUCACUUUGACUGUAUGUUCCCACAUGUAAUUGAUCGGAAGUGACCGAGUGAGUGUCAGGGAUAGUGAAUGAAAAGCUCUUAUUCUAUAAAAUUAUAUUAGAAAAUUAAAAUUUCAGCAUGUUACAGCAGAUGCGGGAACAAUUUAUCAAGGAGAUAUUUCUAUCAAAUAGAUUGGAGAAUAGAAGAAUAUGUCUAUAGAUUUAUAACAGUUCAACUUAUAUAAAAUUUACAUCCACUCUCUCAAACUAACAACCAUCAGUAUGGCAUUUUUUUAACCGAAAGAAUCAAAUGCAACUGAAACAUAUCGUGAACGCACGAGAGAUCGAGGCAACUUAGAGAUUUGAAGCUUUCUGAAUUUCCGCCAAGUCCAUUGGCAUCCUCUAAAUCCUUUUUAUAUAAAACUAACCGUUGUGAGAAUAAUUUUACCCGUAAAACAUCCUUUCAUAGGUUUUCUUUGGAGGGUGCCCUUUUUACUUGGAGGUCAUAAAUACGAAAAUUAUGUCUCAUAAAUACGAAAAUUAUGUCUGGUAAAAUUCCACAAAAAUAAUAUUUUUAUUCAGUUAAUAGUAAAUUUAUUUUGUCUAUUUUCACUAAAAUAUGUAAAUUUAUCAUAACUUUCCUUUGUACUUGGUAAAGUUUUGACAUCCAUGUCUUAGUAAUUUUCCUUACUCAUCGUAACUUUUCUCAUGAUAAUUUGAUCAUGUUUGCAUCUAACUUUCCUUUAAUUUUCGGAAGUGAUGAUAAAAAAAUCGAUUUUGCAAUAUAGAUUUGACGGAUCACCUUUUUUGCCCUUUUUAACCAACGGUCCACAUCGAAUGUAGGACUCAUCCCUUAAAAGAGAGUUUUCACUUAUGAAAUUUCCAACAUGAUUAGCACGUUUUAGCCAUAAGAAAGUAGUUUAUUUUUUUCUGAACAGUAUAGUAGUGUGUUUUUCCAAAAUUUUGCAAAUCGUUCCUUUGAAAUAUAUAUAAAGGUAAAAAUGUAACUAAGAAACUAUAUUAAUUUAUCAAUACUUUCUUUUGCUGAUGCACAGCAACAGAUAAAAGAAAUUUGAGAUACUUCUGAACAGUAUUUUUGAUGUUUCAGGCUUUAAGUAAGUUUGGUUCCGACCAAAAAAAAAAAAGCUGUAAUUUUGUACAAUUGGAGUGCAUAUUAGGCAAUGGACCCAAAAUCGAGUCUAGAAGGGUAAUUUCAUCAUUUUAAUCGAGCGGGCUUUUUGUGCCGAGGGAAUUUCACAUGUAUUAUUCUGUUGCCCUAGAGGAUGUUAGGCGAUGAGUAAUAACCGAAUGUAUUUUUGUCCUAUCAAUUGUAACAGACCGGAGAAUGAAGGUCGGACUUACCUCGAGGAGAAGAUAUUCAGAGAUGAAAUAACUGUGAUGGGUUUGAGAAGAAGUCGGCUUGAAGCAGUCCAAGUCCCAAAAGUCAGUGCAGUCCCGAGAACCACCUUCACGCCUCAACCUGGACCGGCUUGGUUUGGAAAGAUGGUAAGGUAAAUUUGCAGAUCAUCUCAGGUCAGAACGUCACGAGAAAGGACGAGUGGUGGCUACGAAGAAAUCACCAACAACAGACGGCGAACUUACUAUCUCUCGAUAAAAUCCCAGCUCUUCUCCGGUAUAUCUGGAGAUCCCAGAAACGACCCACGUGUUCCGAGCGAAGACCGCCCCACCAAACCCAGGAACCCUAAUCGCCUCGGUGGAGUCCACGAUCAGAAAUUAUAGCAAGCGGAACGCUAAAAAGUUCGAAACUCGACACGAUUCGAGUUGAUUUUACCUGCUGAUUGGUGCCCGCCAAAAAAACAGUCCUUUGAAGCCGGUGGUUCGGAAGGAGCGACUGCAGGUGCUCUUCGCGACGGCGUCGGGUGUACUGCUUGGUGGAUUCGCGAGAAAGAAGAUCGCUGCUUCCUCCUCCGAUUCAAGCCGAAGCUCUCGCUCUGAUCGUAGAGGCUUCGAUGUGCUUCAGAUCUGGAAUUAGAGAGAACUUGGUACUUGGUAGUCGGAUAACGCGGUUCUGUGUUGACUUUCUGCUGGAACACGAUCACGUGCCAUGGGUGGGAUGCGCUGUGUCUUGGACGCCAGAGCCCAGUUGGCUAAUUUUCAAAAGUGUAUCCGCGGCCCAUAUCCCUAAACGGAGUUGGAAACAUGACGUGGGUAUAAACAAAUGGACUUGUGUUUAUUCCAUGGUAGCUCCACGUGCUAACGAUUUCUUCUAAAUCCAACGUAUUUUAAAAUGACAUGAUAUCACCGAGUUAUUCUCUUAAACCUUAGAAAUUUUAAAUAAUUGAUCGAUAUGUAGAGCAAUAACUUGUUACGGGAUACUGCAGAAGGAGCAUGAAUACUCCCUUGAUGCUAUCUUUUGCGGCAUUUUUGUUUUUUCUUCUUGAGAUGAUUGAAUAUAAGGAUAAAAAGAAGAAUUGACGCAAUGAGCACCGCAAAGGAAUGAUGUGAAACGAAAUAGUGCAUCCCUUUUGUUUCUCUUGCUUUGGUUUUGCCCUUUCUCCAUGGAAAUGUUGGGAAAAUAUUAGAUAACGUGAAUAAAGAGAAAGAAUUGUUGGAAAUAUAUUAAAAACGAUGAAAAAAUAUACGAUAUAUUGUUUGAGGCAUUCAAGCACUAUCCUUGAGAUCAAUUUCUCCCUUCAGAGCAUGAAACUCGGUACGAUGGGCUCUAGUGGCUAUCUUCACGAGAUAAAACUCUACAUGGAAUAACAGAAGGAAUGGGAACAUGUUAUGUGCAUAGCCUAGCCAAACAAGGAAAGACAUGUGAAUUUUGUGAAUUCGAUGUAUAUUGAAAGAUUGUGGUUUUAUGGUUAAUCUUGUAUUCAAACAAAAGAGAGAGUUGUUAGAAAACCGCUACAAAUUAAUUAAUAAUUAAUAAAAUGAUGACCAUUAUAGAUGAUAUUUUGAUCACAUCAAAAAAUUAAAGAGAAAGCCUCUAACUCUCCUUUGCACUUCAAAAAGUUUUGAGAUCUUUGUCUUGAUAAAUUUCCUUACUCAUCCUAACUUUUCUUAAUCGAACGAUAAUUUGAUCACGUCUAACUUUCCUUUAAUGUUUAAAAGUGAUGCAAGAAAAUCGAUUUUGCAAAACAGACUUGAAAUGUCAUGUUUUUUCCCUUUCUAUCUAAUGGUCCAUAUUGAAUAUGGGACCAAUCCCAUAAAAAAAGAGAGUUUUGACUUAUGAAAUUUCCAUCCCCAUUGAGAUGUUUUGCCCAUAAUAAAGUAGUGUUGAAGACGCUAUUUUUCUAAAGUUUGGAAAUCAUUCCACUAUGAUAUUUAUAUUUAAUAUAUAGAAAGGUAAAAACGUAAAUUAAGGAACGGUAUUACUUUCUCAAUGUUGUCUUUUAUUGACUGACGCAAAGCAAUAGAUACGUCUGUAACUCUAGUAUGAUAUGCAAGUCUUCCGUUUCCAAAGUAACCUUCACACAUAAUCCCAUCUGCCGAGGUUAACGAUGAUUCAAGCCCCUUUCAGACAAUUGGAAUUAACCUUCCAAUAGCACUAGGAAGCUUUUCAAUUGUAGAACCACUAAUGUCCAGAUGUUGCAAAUUUUGUAAAUCCCCAAUUGAGGUAGGGAUUUCCCUGAGUGACUCAUAAUAGCUGGCACUCAAUUUCUCCAGCUUCCUUAGAGAACCAAUAAACACAAGAAUCUCAGUACUAUCGGCAAAAUCUAAUAUAAGUUCUUCUAAUUUGACAGAUUCGCCUCCUUUCAGUUUUAACACACAUACCCAUCCGCUCUUGGUCCGGUCCAUUGCCAUAUUCUUCUUCCGCGAUCCCAACUCUCUUGUGGAUCCUGAGAUUGCGAUGCUCUCCCCAAUUUCAACUUGGUAAUCUAGCCGAACACUGAGAUGCAUCUUCUCUUGUCCCAGCUUUGAUAUGAUCUUCUUCGCUUUCUUCUCCUCUUCUCUGCAAUAAACACACUAUGUUAUAGCUUCUACCGAUAGCCUCCUUCCUUGUCUAGACAACUUAAACAGCAAUUUUCACACGAACCACCAUUCAUUCUUUGCCAUUUAACACCACAUUCAAAGAGAAACCUCAAAUCAAGAUGAUAUAAGAUAAUUAAUGACGCUACCUUUUUUAGCAAGAAGAACUCGAAAGAAGAAACAGAAAAACUCUUUUUUCUACACCUAUUCUCAUUCAAGAAAUAGACCCCACAUAAACUCUAUCCACACUAGAGAAUCAGACAAACCUUUGAUCGAGAAUUGCAUAAAACAACUCAAUACUUCACUCUGGACCCUAAUGCUCGAUCAGAUUGACAUAAGUGUACUACGACAAAUCCAAUGAGAGAGAGAGAGAGAGAGAGAGAGAGAGAGAGAGAGAGAGAGAGAGAGAGAGAGAGAUGGUUUUAGUGGUGGAAACGCCACGAACAACCAUAAAGGAGCGACUCCGAGCGGCAGGAGCUCCAUGCGUCCACCUAAGAGAAUCUUGAAGGGGAAAAGUAAUGCUGCUCUUCAUGAAUGAACUGGUGGUCUCUGUACUUGGUUUUAGGUAUGAAAAUGUACAUGGCUGUGACUCCUCCGUUUUUAGAUUCAUGCUUAAAUAAAUCAAGUUUGAGAUUAUAUGACCAAAGUUGAUUGCAAAAUGCCUACAUAUGAAUUUACAGAUACAACUAGACCAGAGAGAUGAUGUUAAACUAAUGAAUGCCCUUAUUUUGUGUUCAAAAUUCUUCCAAAUGAGAUACUACAAUCUUCUUGGAAACCUUUUCAUUGAAACUCUUGGCUGCAAUUGACAGAUUAUUUGCUGAUUCCACAGCAUUUUCUUUUUCCACGAAAAAAGUCUCUCCCGGUCACAAAACUGUAGCUUGAAGUGGAAAUCUAAAUGGUAAUCUUGUUAACAAAUCACAUAUUAUACUUGACUUCACAUACAGAACUACCUGCACAUGGGGUCUUCCUCCUAGAGAUUUGCCAUGUGCUUUUGCUAAAGAAUAGCACAAUUUCAAUGCUCGCAAAGGACUAAUUCACCACAGGAGAAGAAGUCACGUUAUAUUAAGAAUCCUUUGAAGAGUAAUAACAACACGGAACAAAUGAUAAACGCCAACAGCAAAGAACUUCAUUAUGCCUUUCCAUACUGACAUAGCUCAUUCUUGCCCGUAUCUCCAACCCAUGGUGUUUGGGGACUUUCUCAGAGUUCCAUCAAAUGCAACUUUAAUCUGCACAAGGAAGAUAGCAAUGACUAAUUAUCAAUAAAUGAAGAUAUCCAAGAUUGUAGCAUCAUAAUUUACCCCAUGAGAUAUAAGGUACAAAUGCGUAAACAUUGACACCAAUCAGAGUUGGACCACAAUGAAUAGAGACUUCAUUAGCUAGCCAAUGAAAAAGAAACCAACAGGCUUAAAAGAAGUAAGCAAUUAGCAACACUUUCCCUAUUUGUGUUUAGGAACAGAAUUGAAGUUAAAAAAAUUAUGCUGAAAAGGUGAAUUGACCUAAACUACACGAUAGAAAGAUGUAUUAGCAAUACGGGAUAGUUUGCAAGGAGGUUAAUUUCAACUUCACAAAUUCAGUGUUGUACACAUGAGAACUGAGCUUAUCAAAUCAGAAACCUAUACGAUCACAUACAAAUGAUAUCAUCACACAAAUAAACUGAUAGAAAUGGAGGACCCUAGCAGUGCAUACCUCCCUCUGCAGAGUCUCAUCAAUUCUAAAGUGAUAUCAUUAGAAUGCAACCACAUCAAACAACUCUGCAUUAGGGUAACGUUAAAAAAAAUCAGUAGCUUAGCAUUUGAUUAAAAGAGAGCUAGAACCGAAUGAGCAUACAUAAUGCAUAUUUAACUGAAAAAAAAAAUACAUUUACAAUCACUCAUGGACGUGACAUUGAGAUCAAGUCAAGUGUUUGAAAAUUCAGAAGUAUCAAAACUUCCUUGGGACACUCCAGUUAGCCCUAGAGCAUCUUGAGGGUUGGCACGCAAGAUGGUCCUCAGCAACAGCUGAUGCUUCAUCUACAAAAUCCCUUCUCUUUAUUUUGAUCUGCUCAGUAUGAAAUUUGAAAUUCCUCAACCGAGUUAGCCACACCCAAUCAGUCAUGUUAUUAAGCAAUCCCAUGACACCAAUAGGAUCAAACGGGAUGCAAACUAAUUAGCAAAUUCUUGAGCUCCUCGUCCCAGCUUGUUUCACAGAUGAGCAAAAAAUUGUCUAUUAAUGCAAAAGGUCAUCGAUACAGUUAAUUGAAUUUAAGUCCCAAAGUAAUCCUAGAUCAUUACAUAGACCAACCAAACUUGUCAUAGAAGCAGCACCCAUUUACCUUGCUUGAUAAUCUUUCAAAACGACAGUUUGACUACCGGUAAUGUUAAGGUGGUCCACAUUCAUACAUGACAGACUAGUCAAAACUACUUUUAACAAUUAUUUUUUUUUAUCACUGAACAAAAACACUUUAACCUUAUAUUUAAUUUUAGCUCAUUUCAUCAUACUUACUGGGAAUUGAUGCUCUUCUAGAAGGUUCAAGAGGAAUAUCAAGGGAACAUUAAGAAACUUGACAGGGUUUUCGUUCAUCAUGAAAAACUGGAAGGCGUUUGUCCCAAACAGGACAUCUGCCAUUAGUCAAGCUUGACACAAAGGAACUCAAAAUGGCCAAGGAUUUUUAGAAAGAAAUUAUUAACUUUUGGACAUCGGGAAAUUCUAGGCGUAGUUGACAAUAUUGAGUAACAGAAGAUCAUUGGCCUCUAGGUGAAAACUUCAAAUCCCAGUUCACCGAGAGGGGGGAACUGUAAAUCACCAAGGAAUUCUUGUUUACGUAUGUUUGAUGUUUUCAUCCUUGCCUCACAAGCCGCUCAUCUAUUUGCAGUCUAAAAAAGCUGCCAAUGGAGGGAUAAAUGAAAAACAUUGCAAUAACAUAACCAAUAGCAAUAUAUGCAGGCAAAUCCAGAAUUUCCGAAAUCAAUUAACUAGAUACACCAUGUGGAGCAAAUCAUUCUCAAAAAAUAGAGCUUCAAGAAAAGUAUUAGUCUAUUUGCUCAUUCCGGCCGUUUGAAGGAUGAAGAGUCUUACUAGAUAACCAAAUGUCUUCUAUUGACAUUUUGAGUCUACAUUUUGAUCUUGGCUGAAGCAUCAUGUCAGCUUCUAUGACCAACUCCCCCACUCCUUCGAUUAUGUAAGUCUAGCAAUUUAGGAAAGUACAGAACCCUGUCAUGGAAAACUUCUUGUCAAAAGAAGAUGGCGAUGAAAAGUAGGUCAUGAAUCUCAAAAGAAAAAUUAUUGUCGCUGUUUUACCUCUGUUGAGGAAGCAUCACUUCAUGAGUCAAAAGACAGCUCUUGUUCAUAAUUAUCAAAAGAGGCCCGUUCUUUCCAAUGAGUCGCAACCAUCAGUUCUCAAGUUAAUUAAAUCCAACUUUUCAAAUCCCCAAAGCUGAGUAAGUUUCUUGCAAUUUUUAACAGAAAAAUAUUGUAACCUCUGACAUCCAUUCAAAUCUGGCAAUGUCUCCUUUGAUUUGCAUCCCAUAAAAUCCAACGGUUCCAAGAACUUUGCCCUGUCAGGGCCUUGAAUUUUGACUAGGUUAUUGCAAUCCUCAACCUGUAAUUUUUUCAGAUGAUUUAAACAUGAAAGGUCCAAUCUCUCGAUGAAACUGCAAUCUCUCAUAUACAAGUCUUCCAAGUACUCAAAUCGGUCGAGCUUAAGCAAUAUUAGCUUAUCACACUCCACAAUACCGAGUUCCAAGAGUCUUGAGGAAAGCUCAGGGAUGUCUUCAAGUAGAUGGCAAUGGUCAAGCCAGAGUUCUUUUAGGUGGAUUAGGCUAGAAAGUUGUGGCAACAUGGGACUCUGACAACAGACUACUAGAUUUGUUAAGCCCGAAGGAAGCUCUGGCAGCGAGCAGAGCUUGUCACAGCCAUUUAGCUUAAGGGAUUGGAGAGAAGAAAGAUUUUGGACGCUUUCUAGUAGGUCAAAUAUCGGUGUGUAAGAAAGAUGGAGAUACUCGAGGGAAGGCAAGUCACCGAUUUCAUUUGGAAUUGCCAGAAUACAGCAACGUGAGAGCUGUAGCGUCCGCAGAUUUUUCAACCUUCCAAUAGCACUAGGAAGCUUUUUGAUCGCAGAAUAAGUCAAGCCAAGAUGUUGCAAAUUCUGUAAAUCCCCAAUUGAGCUAGGGAUUUCUCUCAGUGAAUAACACCCGUAGGCAGUCAGUUUCUUCAGCUUCCUCAGAGAACAAUAGCACUGGGAAGCUUUCCGAUCUCAGAAUAAAUCAAGUCAAGAUGUUGCAAAUUCUGUAAAUCCCCAAUUGAGCUAGGGAUUUCUCUCAGUGAAUAACACCCGUAGGCAGUCAGUUCCUUCAACUUUCUCAGAGAACCAAUAGACGUAGGAAUCUCCAUUACCAGAUUCAUAUAAUAAAAGUUCUUCAAAAUUUUUUAAUUCGCCCACCUCCUGUGGUAGCUCCUUGAGACACCUAUAGUGACUCAAAUUUAAGGAAACGAGGCUCGUGAGUUUGCCAAUAGAAGGGUGGAGAUGCUCCAACUCCCACCAUCCGCUUAAUUUGAGAAUCUUCAACUGUGUGAAAGCCGCCAAAUUAGGAGUACUUAAAUUAUCGCAAUAUUCAAGCAUCAGAAUUUAGAGCUGCUUUGACACCCGAUACAAAAGGAGAAUAAGCCAUCAAAGGAGGAGUUGAUCAGUUGAAAAAAAAAUAACAAACCCUAAAAUCGCAAAGAGAAUGUCUCCUUUUUCCCAAUCAUGAAUGAACUCCAUCAUUUCCAAUGUAUGAAGCCGCUGCCCCAUAACUUCAGCACCGAUAAUUUCUUUUUUUUUUCUUUUUUUUUGAGCAAGCAGCACCGAUAAUUUCGGUAGAUGCAAAUUGAUGGUCGGAAGAUACAAAUUGCUUCCAAAGACUUCCCACUCAAGCCAUCUCACUUUAAGGAGUUCGUCGUUGGAAAUUCCGCUUGCAGCUGCCCUCAAAAUGUCGUCGAAGCAGGAGGGGCGUCUCUGCGAGUUUUUUAAAUUUUUAGUUUUUGCUUUUUGAAAUCUUGGACUUGCACGAUCUGAAACCUUCCCAUCCUUUCCGUAUAAAAAUAUGGACACGUGAACUCACAUUUGAUUUCUAUUUUUGCCGACCUUUCGAAAAUUGAACAAAUGAUGUGAAAAUAAAAAUAAUAAAAAUAGUUAUUACUUUAAAACAACUAAGGCAAAUGCACCUUAAUGUUUUAUCUUUUUCCCUUCUUCUUUUUUUAAUUUUGCAGCACGUGUAGUUGGACUUUUAUUUAAGACAAAAUACAUGAAACCAUAUGACAAAAUACAAUUGAUUACUUGUAAAUUUUCAUGUGUAUAAUUUCUCAAAAGAAUUUGUUAAAGAAUGCCCGUGGGCCACCUGUAAGUAGCUAUGGAAGCACUUGAUUUUGAUUUCAUUAGUUAAAUGUAAUAAUGCGGAAGAGAAAAAAAAAGAGGGGAAUUUUCAAUAUAUUUUGAUAUAUAAAAAAGAUUACGUGGCUAGAACCAUUUAAGGAAAUCAAAAGAAAUCAAAGUAGAUAUGUGUAAUCAUAAUAGAUAUAAAAAAAUCAAAGGAAAUAUCUUAAAUAUCUUUAGAAGAUAUCUAAAAAAAUCUUGAAUCAUUUCUUUGAAAACUAAAACGUUAUGUUUAAAAAGUGACAGAGUGACAUUGGUGAGCAAUUUUAACAGGGAUUGAAAAAAAAAAAAAAAAAGUUGCUCUCAGAGUAACUAAAAAAAUGAAUCGAUUAACUAAAAAGUGACAUGAUGAUAUUGUUUAAUCGUCAUAUCCGAUUCCAUAAGAAUGGAAUUGUUUCUUUUUGCAUAUUAUAAAUCAAAACGUACUGUUUAACUUUCCUACUUAAACAGAUCAUUUACCUUUUUAUGGUCGGUACUUAAACAGAUCAUUUAAUCAGUUGAAGAUGGUGCAAAAAAAAAUUCCCUUUUAUGGCUUUGAUUGACUUUCAUAAUAAUACCUAUAAUUUUCCCCCAAAAGUUCAAUUGGUUAGGAAUUCAGUAAUGCACUUUUAUGGUUUGACACUCUCCCAUUUUCAGUUCCGCUGAGUCGCGUUCUCCGGUAAUGACUCGCUUGUGUUCUUCCAAUUCGUCGUUCGCAUCUUUUCCAUCCGUUGGUCGCUGCAUCAUUUGCUAUUUUUGGUUCUCUUCUUUGCUGCUACAUUGGUCGAAGGAGCAAUCUGUCGCUUUGAUUGCGUUGCCUGCUGUGGAUUUUGAGCUUAGGUUCGUUGUCGAUCGAUGUGCAGAAGUGUUCAUUGGGUAAAUGAGGGGGGGAGAGAGGAGAGGGGAUGACUUGAUUUGGCCCGAAAUGGAGUUACUGGGGGAUGUUUCGGAGACGGCGGGAUGAGGUUGAAGUGUUUUUGCUCUCGUCGGAGUGACUUUUUGAGUCCGCGGUGCGAGAAUAGCGGCGGCUACUUCGUUUGAGUCCGUUGAUUUUGCUCUACUUCCCUGUUGUUGAGCACUUUAUGUUGUUGAGCACUUUAUCGUGACUGAGCUUAGCUUGUGUGUUGGAUGAUUCUUUAGCUGGCAGCCUGGCACUUCUUAGAGUCUCGUUUUACAUAUUAUGUAGAGGAAAGCAGCAAAAAGUUGCAGUUUUAAGGAAUCGUGUGAGACAUGUUGUGCUCGAACUCUGUCAAUUAUCAUUCUUGUCAUCUGGUGCAGUGUUUCCUCAGCAUGAGGUAAUUUGGUGUUUUUCCAUGGUACUUGCUGUAGGUUGGCUAGUUUUAACCAUGUAAUGGCAUGAGUAUGACCACUUCAAUCGUACUUUAAGGGCACGUUUGUUUGGACUUAAGUAAAAGGUUUCCCGCCAGAAUUUAAGAUAUUAUUCAAAUUUCAGAAAAUUAUGAAAACGUUAUAGGUGAAUGUACGUGUCAACAUAUGAGUACAGUGAAAGUUUCAUGACUUUCGUAUUUAUAAAAAGUUAAAAGUGUGUGAGCUGCAAUAUAUAGAUUAAGCAAAAAGAAAAACAUAGAAGUCAUUCCUGACAUGCCCGAAGCUUGGACAGGUUUGAUAGCUUUUUCUUCUAGUUCUGCCUAGGUUCCUCAAAGCCUGCUUGAACUUCCCCACCCUGGUUCAAUCGCAGAGGACAUCCAAUCCAAUUGCUAAAUUGGGUUCUUUGUUUUUCUGUCUCUUUAACUUGGUUGAAUUCUGCCUCUUUGGUCUUGGUGCAUAGAAAUGAGCCUUCAGAUGAAGUUUCUUUGUUUGGAGAAUUGAUAGCAACUUUUUUUGGUGAAUGGUUAUGAGAGUACUUGGAGUGUGUGAUUUUUGGUUCUGGCUGCUCUGUCAUUCUUAUGGAUGAUAAACAGGACUCUGUAUGAUGCUUGUUAUCUCAAAACCAAUGUUUUUAUUCUUUGUGGGACAGUUCUGCUUCCAUGGGAUGGAAUGAUAAAAUCAUCAAGCAGCCGGAAGAGGAAACUCAUGAAUCAUGGACCCUAACUCUACACUCUCUGUCUGAUUUAUCCCAUAUUUCGCCAAUUGUAUUCUUGUACCUCAUUAAAGAAUGUUAUGCUUCUGGUAUAAGAAUGCCUUCCCCUUCAAAAGUCUCUUGCCACGUUUAUAUUCCAUUUUCCCUUAGUGGUACUUCACAUCAUAUGCAGUAUAUGCGAGCAAAUGACUUUUCUAGUGUUCCUAUAUGUAUCAGAUGAUCGACUUGCCUGCAUCUUCUGGUUUUACGUCAACUUUUUCAUUAACUUCUCUUCCAAAGAGGAGGCUCUUCUUUAGAUGCUAGUUUUAUUCUAAGAACAAACUGAAGUUUUGAGCCAUGUAAGACAUUUGUCCUCAAAUGUCAUCAAUUAGAGGACACACGUGCAGUACAUUGUGCAUCUCAGUAUUUAUGACUACCGUCACACUGCACAUAGCAUUACACUUUUUGAUGAGGAAUAAUUGGUCAUUUACUGGAUAUUGCUAUCCUUUAGUCUUUUCAUAGAUGCUUGGAAUCCACUUGGUUUAUGGCUAUCUGGACUUCUUUUCUUAGAGAUAUUGCCUUAUGUUCUAAUGCUUAGGUACCUUGAAGGCAACUAGGAAGUUCGGGGCACUUCAACACCAAGUCCAUCAAGUAUUAAAUAAUGGGCCCCGACCCGGACCCGCUACGUUUGUCAUACACUGUCUCUAUGCACUACCCAUAUUUGACAUUUACUGUGAGGGAUUCAGUCACUUGAUAAUAUCUUCUCUCUGUCGUUUUCUGAAAGCUAACCUUGCGGACUCCAUGCAAGCAAAGGACUUAGCUGUGCAUUUGUUUGUUGAUAUGGUUCAGGGAUAUGUAUAUCAUGAUGAGAGGAUACUUGUGAAGGUAGUAGAAGUUUAUGAUGUGAGACUGACAAACAUUGAGUAUGUCAUAUUCCAACUUAAAGCUACAAACAUUAACUUUAGACAAGUCACUGCAUUAACAUUUCUUGAGCAAUAUGUUUUCAAGUUGAUAAAUUCCCAGUCCUAUAUGACAGCAGUCAUUCUAUUGGAGCAUUUUUCUAUUCACCGAUUUGGGAAAUCCUUCCUUCUUGCUAUGAUAGAAAAGAAAGAAUUUAGGGCUGCAGAGAAGUGGGCCACAUUUAUGGGCAAGCCAAUGUUAUGUGUACUUGUCCAGGUAUAUAUAGACAGAAAAAUGCUGAAGUAUGCUUACGUGACAAUAAAGAAAAACAAUCUCCGGCAAGAAUUUGCUGAUGUAUAUCAUUAAUGUAAAGAAAGGUACUUCUUUGCUGUUAAAAUUUUUUGGAAGUGACAUUUGCUUUAGAUUUAUUUAUUAUGUUGCUGAUAGUGCAUGGAAAUCCAAAUUUCUUACUGGAGCCAUUGUAUCGAGAACAGCAAGACUAAUUUAUUCUUUUGUAGUUCAAUGAAGCAGCUAGCAGAAAAAGGGUGCUGGGAUGUUGCUGAGUCAAAGGCAAAGGGUGAUCUACAGCUCAUUGAAUACCUGGUAUUAGUCUAAAAUGCUUUGUUCCAACUGUGGCAUCUUUCUUUAGAUGAACUUGAAGUUGUGUGAUUUUAAGUUGCAACUUUAGUAGAUUUGUAUCAAUCUUUUGAGGUUUGCAGUUUGGCUUCUAUAGGGGUUCCUCAAAUAGUUUUGUCAGUCCUGUCUUUCUUAGCAACGGGUAUUGGGAGAACUGUUUCAGUAAUCGCACAUUUUAUCUCCUGCUAUUGGACUUUGGUGCAAUGUCUAAUGGUUCUUGGUCCUUUCAUAGAGAAAUGUGAUUAAUUUUUUAGUCAUAAUAUGUCUUCUGAUGUAACUAUAGCAUUUGAGCUGUGUACAUAAAUGACAUCUUGUGGCUUGAGCAAGAAAUUCCUGUGGUGCCACCUCCUCCUUUGUGAUGAACAUUUGUCCUAUUACUGUUGUUUUUUCCUCCUUGCCUUUGCCUUUUCCCUGAAGGUGAUGUUUAAGUUUUUGAAUUAACAUAUUACCAGUCUGUAGCUGUCAUAAGACAUAAAGAAGGGAGACUUACAUGCUUUUGUUUAUUCUAUUAAGAUUUUACUCUUCCACUUUAAAGGUCUAUUUGGCAAUGGAAGCUGGUUAUCCAGAAAAAGUUGAUGAAUUGUGUGAUCGAUACUCUCUUCAAGGUUUUCCAAAAGCCAAAGGUGUGCCAACAUCUAUUUUGUUUGCCAAAAUAUUAGGAUAAACAUAUUGCUGUGAUUUCUUUUCUCUGACCUGUAAGUUUAGAAAAUUAUGUUGUUGCACUAUUUUUGCUGAAACAGUUUUUUGUCAGUCACUGCUGUGAUUGGAACCUCUAUUGUGCUACUAGAAGCCAACUAGAUGCCUCAAGUAGGUUACUGGGAACCUUAGAUAAGGUUUCUUCUUGCUUUGUUUGCAUAAAGUACCUGGACUAUGCAUAAGAUUCUAUAGGCACAGUUAACGAGGUGUUGGCAUGCUUGUCUAUUGAGUUAAGUAUGGGGCAAUUGCAUUGAUCAAUGUAGAUGGCUAUCUUUGUUCGAAUAUACCUUCUAAUGUGAAUAUCUUUAUCAAUACAUUGCUUGCAUUUUGUCAGAGAAUGUGGCAAACUGAUUGGGAUUCUUAUGGCCAGUAUGUUGUUAUUCGGUGAACCGAAUAGAUGUUUUGCUUGCGUUCUCUUGUUCCUAUAACUUGUAAAUCUUGGUUUGAAUUGUAUCUGGGGAAGUGCUGAAGUCAUUAUGUCUCGAAAAUUGCUGAAUCAUUUGAUAUCUUGAACCCGACAGUUGCGUCUGCAAUUAGGUCUCUAGUUCUCCAUGAUUGAGGAAAAGAACAGUUCUGCUUGUGCCUGAUGAUCUAGAACCAAUUGCUUGCCAUAUUAUGUGGACCUUGAAAGGUUUUUAGUAGACCUUCGUAUACGUUGGGUAUUAAACUUCUCUGAUAAACAUGUAUUCUGUUGCACUAUCAUCAGUAUGGUGUAAGUAUGCUAUGCCUUGAUAUUUAGUCCUUGGUGAUCUCAUGUUGUGGAGUACAGCAGUAGGAUUUUCUCAGUAAUGUUGCAUUUUCUUUUUCAAAUAUACUAAUUUGUAACCAUUGGCUUGUUUAGAAUUGGAUGCAACUUUUCUGCAUCGUAAGCACUAUAUGUGCCACAAAGAACUGGGCAUUGAAGAUGUUUUUUGGGUUGAUCGAGUGGAUAGUUUGCAUACAGCAACAUACUGUAUUGAAGAAUCUAAAGUUGUUGGUGUGGACUGUGAAUGGAAACCUAAUUAUGUAAGGGGCAGCAAGCCUAACAAGGUAAUUGCUAAGUCCUGUUUGUCCUCAUCUUCAUAUGCAUAAUAUCUUGAAGGUUUUAUAUACUCGCUGAAAAUUGUCUUUGUGCCUUUUUGUUCCAAACAAAUUCAUUGUUGCCAGAAAAGAAAUUAAAUGGUUUAAUGAUCAAGAGUUAUUAUCAAGCUUUUGGUGAUUGCCACUAUCUUUCUUACGUUUCAACAGCCAUGUAAUCAACUAUGAAGCAUGAUAUUCAGCAAUGGCAUCCUGAGAACAAAACUUUUAAGAUGAUUUCAGAUGUGCUGUACUUGUUAUAUAGUGCGCUUCCUUUUAAAAAAAUUGAUGAGGGAUAUGCUUGGCCAGACGUAGGACCUGUUUGAAGGCUCCAUUUGGAAGAAUCAUGUAAAAGUCUAAAGAGUAUCUACAUGCCUUUUGAUAUUUGUUAACCACUAUCAGAAUGGAUUAAAUCAGACAAGGCAGAUGUAGAUGGUAUAGGACUGCAGUGAGGAGAUGGCAAUACAAGAAGACAAUGGUUUUGUCUCCACUUCUCACCAUCUUAUGUGUGGUUGCCAUUGGCAUGGCUAGUCUCACCAAUCAAUGUCCCUACUGCUGUCGGCUUAGCUCUCUUAUCGUGUGUUAUUUGGUUCUAAGCAGUGACUUGGUCUCUUCAGCCAAAUUACAGCAGCUGCUUGCUCUGCUGACGUGAUUUAGAGGUUUUGGUUGAGCAAGUUGUGGCUGCAAUUUGGUGGAGAAGACCAAGGCACCGUCAAGUCUUGGGUUGGCAACUUCGUGUCAAUUGUCAUGACUUUUUGUCGCCUUUGUGAUUGGCUCAUUCCACUAUGACCUCUCUGUCAGCACAAAUAUCUUAAAAGGUCAUCCAUUAAUGUCAGAAAUUAAUUAAGUCUGAUGUUUAUUUUGAUUUUCAGGUGUCCAUCAUGCAGAUUGCUUCCAGCAGAAGUGUUUUCAUCAUUGAUCUAAUAAAGUUGUCAGGGGAUGUGCCAUAUAUUCUGGAUAACUGCCUGAGUCGUAUUUUACAGUCUUCAAGUAUUCUAAAUCUUGGCAUGAGAAAUUAUUUAGCGUAAUUGUAUUCUGUCCUUCGCUUCUUGGUCCAAGCGUCAGCCUUAAUCUGGUAUCACCAAUAUGCGUCUACUAAUCUAGGGAAAAGAAAAUCAUUGUACUGACAUAAGAAUUUGGAAUUUCUGGUACCAGACGUACAUCGGGGCAUCAAAAAGCAAGAGUUUGGACAAGGAAUAAUUAUUUGUGCAUGUUUGGUACCGAUAUGACUAAGGGUGAUUGGCAUUGAAUGUUUCAGUAUGUUUGUUUUGCUGAAGUGAAUAGCUUUCCACAGAAUUUCCUGAUGUUCCUGCCCUAUGCAGGCUAUAAUUUUCAAUGUGAUAUGAAGCAACUCGCCAGCUCCUAUGAAACUCUGGGGUGUUUUAAGCAUUUUGAAAUGCUGUUGGACAUUCAGAAUGUAUUUAAAGAAUCCAGUGGUGGUCUCUUGGGGCUUGCUGAGGUAAAGUGGACUUGCAUUGUAUGACUAGUAUUGCUGCCUUGCUUACUAACAGUGGUGAAAAGCGGGGAACAUGAUUUCUUCUUGCUCAGAACUCAUGUUGGAAUCUGUGAUGCAUGCCUUUGAGGUCGCUUUUUGCCCUGAUGAGUAAUUACUUUUACCAUUAUCUCUUGCCUCUAACUAGGAAAUACUUGGUGCUGGUUUGAACAAGACAAGAAGGAAUAGCAACUGGGAGCAACGACCUUUGAAUCAAAAUUAGGUUAUUUUACAUGUUCUUUUUCCGUUUUUUUUUAUAUAUUGCCUCAGAAAGGAAAUUGCCGGAAAGAUCACACAAUUUAAUAGCAGAACUCAAAUGGUUGCAGUAGCAUACUAUAAUGUGUGGAAUGCAUCUGGAAGAACGAUAUCAGUACACAGAACUUCAUGGAGACUUCCAAUUAUAUCUUAAUGCUCCAAACAUUCGAGAGCCUAGGGUCAGUAGACAUGAUAAUCAUUUGCUUAAGCGAAUUCUCGAGAUCUUUAGUGCAACAAAAAUUCUCGUGGUGUCUAUUUAAAACAAUGUUUAUGCUGAUAUUUUUUAAAAGAAGUUUUCCUUUUUUUUAUUUUUAUUUUUAUUUUUAUUUUUAACAAACACCAUUUGCUAUUUCAACUCCAAGAAAGAGAGAGAAAAAUAAAGUAUAUUAAGGAGCAAACACAGCAAAGAAAAGAAAAGGAGAAAAGUUAACUGUUGGUGUUUCCUGAAAUAUGAUUAGAGCAGUAGUCCUUUGAUGUAACUGUAACGAUCGCAAUGUUUGCAGCUGGAAUAUGCCGCUCUUGAUGCUGCUGUUCUUGUGCACAUAUUUCAUCAUAUACGGGACCAAUCUCAGCAGGGUACUGCAGAUGGUAAUGACAAAAUCGAAUGGAAGUCUUCUAUAGUAAGUGGACAGCACCUAUUAGUUUUUCUUAAUUCUCCUAUAAGAAAAGCUGAAGUGAAAUGACAUUCUUCUUAAGUUUUGAGCCAGCUUAUUUGACCAUUUAAAAUUAUUGCAGAUUUCACACUUGGAUAAUGCCAAGACAACUAAAAAGAAUGUUCGGAAUAGAAGAAAGUGCAGAGUGGAGACUAACUAGCUGGACAAUCAAUUCAUGAACUGUCGGAGCUAUUUGCUGCAGGGAGUUUUUUCUUAUGUAAAUAGCUUUUGCAUAUAAGGACAUCAUUACUUAGUGAUCCAAUUAACAAUUCUGAUGUGCAUAUGGAAAGGAUUCAUUGCGAAUGAGUACUUCGGUUCCGUCUUCUUGUGCUGGGUCGCUUUUUCUCAAGAGAAUUUAGGUGCCUCAGAAAGCUCGUUGGUCAAAACCUGACCACGGCCACACUCUAUGCUUUUGAGUUCUGGUUUCCCAACACGAAGUUACUAUUGAAUUUCCUUGAUAUGCCGUGAGUGUAUAAAUCUGAUGGAUAUACUCGACAGGAGCCAAAUUGUCUUGUUGAGCCAUUCACCCAAAUGAGCAGCCAUCUAUGCAGAUAUUGUAAUGUAAUGCUCUACCUUGCUCGCUAUAAUUUGCAUUCGUCGUGCCUUUUGUUCAAGCUAAGCGAUUUCUGGGGGAACAAAGCGUGCUGUAUCUGGCAAUAAGAACCAAAAAAAGGGGCGAACGAAACCAAGAAUAACCGCAAUUUAGGUGUGUGCAUGAUUGCGUUUAUAUCCUUUUGGAUUGGUGGAGAUAUUGGUGGAGAUCUUGUGAUAUAACGAUUGAUUUAUUGUUGCGGAUCUUUCUUUGAUUUUUGAAUGAUUGAACUUCCGACUGAUGAACCCCGUCAAUGUAGCUGAUUUGGGACGAAUUUUUCUCGCCACCGAAGCCAAAUCUGAAUCCGAAUCCGGCAUCACGGGUUAGUAUCAAAGAUCUAGAAGCCUUAGUCGCAUGUAACCUCUAACUUCACUUAACAAAAGAAAAGCAUCAUCGUAAUUUCGAAAGAAAAGGGGGAAAAAAGUGAUAUCCAAUGUUAAAAAUAGGUCCGAAUCCUGGUCGCCUAUCUCUCUUACAUGGAAGUUUCCAUCCCCAACAGAAAGAACCACUCUCUGUUUGCUGUCAUCUCCAUAUCAUAACAUUAGAAAGAUCCCUCCUCUCUCUCUCUCUCUCUCUCUCUCUCUGUGAAAAAAGAAUCCUUCCCAUCCGAGAAAGGGGAGAGGCCGAGGCCGGGAGAGAGAGAGAGAGAAAGGGGAGAUACUGAGGACACAGAUGGACCCGUGGUCACCGAGCUACCGAUCCCAUGGAGUUGGCCGGAGUCUAGAGAUCAUGACGAUUCAAACUCGUAACCAAAACCAGAUGUACGUAGCCAAAUCCCGGCCUCGCAUGCUCGAACACGCUUAACCCCCGCACAGACUAGACAACGUGAAGGAGUCGGCGAUAAAAGCAUCGUGGUGGAAUGAUCCGGAGAAGAAGAGGAAGAGGAGGGUGGCCAGAUACAAGCUUUAUUCGGUCGAACGCAAGUUCAAGGCUUCUUUCAAACAAGGGUUCCGAUGGUUGAAGCGCAAAUGCUCGACCUUCGCACGUCGAUUCUAAUUAGCAGGAAUAACGGAAUACCGUGUCCAUCGUCAUCAAGAGAGAAAAAGGGUGAGAAAGAGGAAACAGAGAGAUUUGCUGUGCUCUUUGGGUCUUCAUCUUUAUAUGUAUCUAAUGGUAAUCAAAUAUUUAGAAGGGUGCCACAAUGUUCAAUCUUUCCGAUAUUAUGUUCAUCUGACUCGUUGUUUCAUUCAUCGAUCUCUAGCAUUCAAAACACAGGCAAAUGAGACGACUCUUACGUGACAGUAAUAUAUAUUUAUAUUUGCCGAUUUUUCUUUUUCAUUUUUGAAUUUUCUCACCUUCUAAUACAUUUGUAACAAGAUUCUGCAUCCAUGCCCAUGCAAAGUAGAAUUGUCUGAUUUGUUCAAUUAUCCUCUUUUCUAUAAGCUCUUUUCCUAAUAAAUGUGAUGCUGAUUGCAAAACCAGAUGAAUACUUGUAUUUGUAGGAUUGACAUUACCAUCUAUUUUGUGGUCGAUUUUGUUGGGUACAAUUUUGUUUUGGCCAAAUGUUGUUUACCCCUUGUUUCUGGGGUUCUUUAACCCCCUAAUUUCCUCAAUUUGUCUAGUUCGAUUGCUCUUUGUUGUACGAUUCAUCAUAUGUCAACAUAUAUUCCUGAAAUAGAUAUUCUAAAAUGACAUGCGCCGUGCUAAACAAAAAGGCUUUCGAUGGUUCUAUUUUGGUUUGAGGACAAUUUUCAUAUUUCGAAUGCUAUCCUGUUGAGACCGAAGUUACAAAAAUGUGGAAAACUGAAAGGCCCAAAGGGAACCCUCUUUAAUUCUAUCAAAACUUGCGUAGUUAUUGUUCAAAUGGUCGUAAUUUAUAGGAUCUUGAUGUAAAAUGUUAUAGAACUUCAAAAAACAAGGUCAAAGCAAAUCUUUGGCAUGAAAUCGAAGGAGGAGAGUAUGAAAACCCAUGAGCAGAACCGAACCGGUUCACCAGGUUUAACACCUUCAUCUAGUUAUCUAGUCGAUUCACAGUUUUCAAAUUUUAAAUCAAUUCAACCGAUAAGGUUGUGACUAAUAUUCUAAAAGUAGUCAAAACACAUAGCCAUUGCCCUUUGGAAUAAUGGCUUAGACACUGGUUAAGCAACUUAGUAAAUAAAGUGUAGACUCAAUACAUCAACUUGUGAUUUUUCUUGUGAAAUGUUCAAUCAAUAUUCUGAAAAUUUAAUUAUUUCACAUUAAGUAUGUUUAACAAGUAUUUCGACACGACCCACACUAUAUUUGUGUUAGUAAUUAAAGAUUCGAACUUGGCUUAAAAAGCUACUUGCCCUUACAAGCUACUUGGCCUUUGUAUUGAGCUCUGGAAAAAUUGAGUAUAAGUUCAAGUAGACAAGCAGCGAAAUAGACAGAGUACCUUGCCAGUAGCUUUCAGCCUUUCAACAACUAAAAUUCCACCAUUGCCAUCUAGUACAAGGGUACAGGAAUAUCAAAGAGUAACCUCAAAGAAAUUGCUUCGAUUGGGGCUUCAAUGCGUGACUGGUAACACAAUUUGGUGUAGUAGAGUCUGAUUAUUAACCAAUAAGAUGACCCUUUUAAAGUUUUUUGUUCAAACCAAAUGAGUAAACUUUGGUAAUGGCCCUUUUCACCCUUCCAAAAAUUUCCCAUAUUUUUCAAUAGUCUUCAAUCGUAGCCUACGCCAGAGAAAAAUAGGUUUCAGAUAUGAAAAUGUACGUCAAUGUGGCUCUUCCGCUUUUAGAUUCAUGCUUAAAUAAAUCAAGUUUCAGAUUAUAAGAUCAAAACAAUUGCAAAAUACCUACAUAUGAUUUUUCAACGUAACCAGACUAGAAAGAUGAUUUUACACUGACGAGCGCCUUAUUUUGUGUUCAAGAUUAUUGAGAAAACUACUGUCUUCUUGGAAACAUUAUCAUUGGAACUCUUUCCUGCAAUUGACAAAUUAUUUGCUAAUUCCAUGGCAUUCGCUUUUUCCACAAAAAGAAUCUCUCCGCCACAAAAUUUUAUAGCUUGAAGUGGACAUCUAACCAGUAAUCUCGUUAGCAAAUCUCAUUUGAUGCUUAACCUGCAAAUGCUUUCUUCCAGCAAGCAAUUUGUGAUUCGGCCUUUGCUAAAGAAUAGCACGAUGUCAAAGCUCGCCAAGGCCUAAUGCACCAUAUGAGAAGAGGUCGCUUCACAUCUAGAAUCCUUUGAAGAGUACUAACAACACAAACGCCAACAGUAAAUAACUUCGGGAUGACUUUCCAUAAUGACAAAGAUCAUUCCUGCUCGCAUCUCCAUCCCAUGGUGUUUGGGGACUUUCUCUGAGUUUCCUGAAUUGCAGCUUGAAUCUACACCAGAGGAAUAGCACUGACUAUAAUCAUCAGUAAUGAGAAAAAACCAAGAUACGUAGCAUCACAAUUUACCCCAUCAAAGAUAAGGUACAAAUGCAUAAACAUCAUUUCCACCAGUUGGACCACAAUAAACAGACGCUUCAUUCGCAGGCCGAUGAAAUAGAAAACAACAGACUUGGAGAAGUAAGCAAUUAGCAAUACUUCCCUUGUUUGUAUUUAGGAACAAAAUUGAUGCUAACAGAAUGACGCUGAAAAGGUGUGAGUGCCUAAACCACAUGACAGAAGGAUGUAUUUGUUACUUGGGUAUUUCGUAAUAUCCCCUUACCAAAAUCAGCAAUACUGAAUAGUUUGCAAGGAGGUCAAUUUCAACUUUACAAAUCCAAUACCGCAUACAUGAGAGUUGAGCCUAUCAAAUCAAAAACCUAUAUGAGAACAUUUACAAGAUAUUAUCACACUAAUAAACUGAUAGAAAUGGAGGAGGUUGUCAUCAUGCAUACUUGCGUACUAAUUUCAGGUGAAAUUCCACAACUCAUAUAGUCUAAGCACACAAGUUAGUCUUUCAUCGUACAACUAGCAGUGCAUACCUCUCCCUUCAGAGCCUCAGCGAGUUCAGGGGUGAUAUAUUUAGAAUGCAAUUGUAUCAAACAACUUUGCAUCAGGGUAACAUACAAAAAGUCAGCAGCUACAUGUUUGAUUAAUGAAGAGAUAGAACCUAAUGAGCAUACAGAAACCUUAUUUUAUAUAUAUAUAUAUAUAUAUAUAUAUAUUUACAAUCGUUCAGGUAUGUACUGUUGAGACAUGAUCAAGUGAUCGAAUAUUCACAAGCAUCAAAACUUCCUCAGGACACUCCGGUUGGCCCCAGAGCAUCUUCAAGGUCGGCACAAGAGAUGGUCCUCGGCUGUUGUUGAUGCUUCCUCUGCAAAAUCCCCUUUCUUCAUUUUGAUUGGUCUCAGGUAUGGAAUUUGAAGUUCCUCAGCCAAGUUAGAACUAGUAAUCAUGUUAACAAAUCUCAUUUUAUACUUGACUUCACAUAAAGAACCACCUGCACAUGCAAUCUUCCUAAAAGUGAUUUGUGAUUCAGUCUUUGCCAAAAAACAGGACGAUGCCAAAGCUUGCAAAGGACUAAAACACCACAUGAGAAGAGUUCGCUUGGUAUCAAGAAUCCUUUGGAGAGUAUUAACAACACGGAGCACAUGAUAAACGCCAUUAGCAAGGAACUUCGGAAUGCCUUUCCAUAAUGACAGCUCAUUCCUGCAAUGUUUUGGAACUUUCUCCGAGUUUCAUGAAAUGCAGCUUCAAUCUACACAAGGAAGAUAGCACUGACUAUAUCAAUAAAUGAAGAUAUCUGAGAUCCAAGCAUCACAAUUUACCCCAUGAGAGAUAAAGUACAAUUGUGUAAACAUCAGUGACACCAAUUGCAGUUAGACGACAACGAACAGAGACUUCAUUAGCUGGCCGAUGAAAAAGAAACCAACAGGCUCAAAAGAAGUAAGCAAUUAGCAACACUUUCCCUGUUUGUGUUUAAAAACAGAACUGAAGUUAAUAAAAUUAUGCUGAAAAGGUGAAGUGCCUAAACUAUAGAACAGAAAGAUGUAUUUGCUACUAGGUUAUUUUGCCGGAUCCAAUUAGCAAAAUCAGCAAUACAGGAUAAUUUGCGAGGAACAAAUCCAAUGCCGCAUACAUGAGAGCUGAGCCUAUCAAAUCAGAAACCUAUCUGAGAACAUUUAGAGGAUAUUAUCACACUAAUAAACUGACAGAAGUGAGAAGAUUGUCAUCAUGCAUACUUGUGUCCUAAUUUCAAGUGAAAUUCCACAGCUCAUAGAGAAUAAGCACACAAUUUAGUCUUUCAUGGUACGACUAGCAGUGCAUACCUCCCCUUUCAAAGCCUCGUCGAGUUCAGGAGUGAUAUCAUUAGAAUGCGACCGUAUCAAGCAACUCUACAUCAGGGUAACAUAUAAAAGGUCAGAAGCUAUGUUUGAUUAAUGGAGAGGUAGAACCUAAUGAGCAUACAGAAAGCCUAUUUAAUUUAAAAAAGUACAUUUACAAUUGUUCAGGUAUGUGUUGUUGACACAAGAUCACAUGUUUGAACAUUCAUACACAUCAAAACUUCUUUCGAACACUUCAGUUGGCCCUAGAACAUCUUCAAGGUUGGCACACAAGAUGGUCCUCAGCUGUUGCUGAUGCUUCCUCCACAAAAUCCCUUUUCUUCAUUUUGAUUGGUCUCAAGUAUGGAAUUUGAAGUUCCUCAGCCAAGUUAGCCACACCAAAAUCAGUCGUGAUAAAACAAUUCCAUGGCAGCAAUAUGAUCAAACGUGAUGCAAACCAAUUAGCCAAUUCUUGAGCCCCUCGUCCCAGCUUGUUUCACAGAUGGGAAAAUUUUUUCUAAUUAUGCAAAAGGUCAUCAACACGGAUGACUGAAUUAAAGUCCCAAAGUAAGCCUUGAUCAUUACAUAGACCAAUCAAACCUGUCAUAGAAGCAGCACCAGUUUACCUUGCUUGAUAAUAUUUCAAAACAACAGUUUGACUACUGGUAAUGUUAAGGUGGUCUACAUUCAUAUAUGACAGACUAGCCAAAACAACUUUUAACAUUUUCUUUGUCACCAAACAGAAACACUUGAACCUUGAAUUUUAUUUUGGCUCAGUUGAUCAUAUUCCGAGGAGAAGCGCUCUUCUUAGAAGGUUAAUGAGGGACAUCAAUGGAACGAUAAGAAAUUUGGCGGGGGUUUCAUUCAUUACGGAAAAUCCAAAGGCGAACAGGAUAUCUCCCAUUAGUCAAAUUUGACAUACAAAAGAACUUUCAAAGAAAAUAUGAACAUUGGAAGUUGGGAAACUCUGGGUGUAGUAUACAAUAAUGAGUAGUAGAAGUUCAUCAGCCUCUAAAUGAAAAUUUCAAAUCCCGAGUUUACCGAUAAGGGAACUGUUAAUUACAAGGUAAUUCUUGUUUACCUUUAUUGAUAUUUUCAUUCUUGCCUCGCAAGCUCCUAUAUGUUUGCAAUCUACAAAAGCUGGCAAUGGAAGAAUAAACGAAAAACAUUGCUAUAAUGUAAUUAACAGCAAUUAUACAAAGGCAAAUCUGGAGUUUCCAAAAUCAAUCAAAUAGAUACCCAGUGUAGAGCAAAUCAUUCUAAAAACUUCUCUUUGUGCUCACAUUGGCGAUUCAAGGAUGAAGAAUCUUACUAUGCCUUCUAUUGACAUUUGGAGCUACAUUUUGAUCUUGGCUGAAGCAUCAUGUCAGCUUCUGACCGACUCCCCCAAUCCUUCAAUCGUGUAAGACUAGCAAUUUAGAAAAUUCCACAACCCUGCCAUGGAAAACCUUAUUGUCAAAAGAAAAUGAUGAAAAGUAGGUCAUGAAUCUGAUAAGAAAAAUGAUUGUUCACUGCUUAUUUACCUUAUAUAGGAAAUGAUCACUCCAUGAGUCAAAAUCCAGGUCUUCAUCAUAAUUUCUUAAGAUGCGCGUUCCAGAUAAUUUCGGUAAUGCUUCCAAUGAGUCACAACCAGAAAUAUCCAAAUCAAUUAAAUCCAACUUUUCAAGUCCCCAAAGCUGAGUAAGUUUCUUGCAGUCUCGAACUCCUAGAGAUUGUAACUUCUCACAUCCCGUCAAAUUUGGCAAAGCCUCCAUUGAACUGCAUCCUGUGAGAUCCAACAAUUCUAAGAACUUCGCACCGUCAAGACCUUGAAUUUCAACCAUAUUGUCGCAGUAGACAACCUCUAAUUUCUUCAAACACCGUGAUUCUGGACAGAGAAGCCUUUUAAUGGAAGCACACUCAUAUAUAAAUAUGACCUGUAAGGACUCCAAAUUAUCAUAGCCCUGAAUUUCUACUAGGUUAUUGCAACCCUUAGCAUGCAAUCCUUUCAGACGAACCAAUCCUGAAAGGUCCAAUCUUUCAAUGGAACCGCACUCUCUUAUUGAAAACCCUUCCAAAUACGUGCAUCCAUCAAGAUUGAGCAAUAUCAGCUUAUCACACUCCUCAACACAGAGUUUCGAGAGUCUUGAGGAAAGCUCGGGGAUGGAUUCAAGUAGAGGACAUGCCUUAAGAUGGAGUUCUUUUAGGUGGAUUAGGCUAGAAAGCUGUGGCAACCUUCUGGGACUCUGACAAGAGAUCGACAGCUUAGUUAAGCCCAAAGAAAGCUCUGGCAACGACUGGAGCUCCUUACAGUCCACUAGUUCAAGGCGUCGGAGAGAAGAAAGAUUCCGGACACUUUCUGGCAGGUUAGAUAUCGGUGUCCAAGCGAGAUUGAGAUACUCGAGGGAAGACAAGUCACCGAUUUCACUUGGAAGUUUUUUUAUCACAGAAGCACUCAAGUCAAGACGUUGCAAAUUCUGUAAAUCCCCAAUUGAGCUAGGGAUUUCUCUCAGUGACUUACAGUAGAAAGCACUCAGUUUCUUCAGCUCCCUCAGAGAAGCAAUAGACGGAGGAAUCUCUGUAAUACCAGAAGAAUCUAAUAAAAGUUCUUCUAAAGCUUUUAAUUCGCCCACCUCCUCUGGUAGCUCCUUGAGACCUUUACAGAAUUUCAAGUCCAAGAAACAAGGGCCGUGAGUUUGCCAAUAGACGGUGGAGAUGCUCCAGUCUGCCACAUUGGACCAAUUUGAGAAUCUUCAACUGUGUGAAAGCCGAGAAAUCUGGAGUACAUCUUAAACUAGGACACCCAUAAAGGGCGAGAACUUUUAGCCGCUUUGACGCGUGAUGCAAAAAGAGAAUAAGCCAUCAAAGAAGAGGAGUUGAUCGGCUAAAUAAAAACAAAAUUCUAAAAUCGCAGAGAGGAUGUCUUUUUUCCCCAAUCUUACCAUGAAUGAAUUCCAUCCUUUCCAAUCCUCUGUGAUCUUGCUGUUACAUAACUCCAGCACCGAUAAUUCCGGCAGAUGCAAAUUGGUUGUCGAAAGAGACGCAUGGCUUUCAAGAACAUCCCACCGAAGCCAUCUGACUUCAGAAAGGGAUUGCUUGAUGCCUCCGCUUGAAGUUGCCCCCAAAAAGUCGUGGAACCAGGGACAUCUCUGCAAGUUUUUGAACUUUUUAUUUUUUGCUUUUUUUAAAUCUUGGAUUUGCACGAUUUGAUACCUUUUUAUCCUUCCCCAAUACAAAUAUGGAAACAUAAACUUACAUUUAAUUCUUUUUUUUUUUGACGACCUUUCGAAAAAUUAAACAAAUGACACUAAGAUAAAGAAAAAAAUAGUUAUUGCUUUAAAACAACUAAGGUGAAUGCACCUCAAUGUUUUGUCUCUUGCUUCUUCUUUUUUUCAAAUUUUGUAGCACGUACACUUUGACUUUUAUUUAAAAUACAUGAAACCAUUUUACAACGUCCAAAUGUUUAAUUGUAAAUUUUCAUAUGACUUCUCUAUAAUUUCUCUAAAGAAUAUGUCAAAAAUUGCCAAUGGGCCACUUGUAAGUAGCUAAGGAAGCACCCGGUUUUCAUUUCAUUAGUUAAAUGUACUAAUGCGGAAGAGAAAAAAAAAUGAAUUUUUUAAUAUAUUUCAAUAUAUAAAAAAGAUUAUAUGGAAGGAAAUCAAAAGAAAUCAACUCUGAUAUGCAUAAUCAAAAUAGAUAAAGAAAAUCAAAAUAAAUAUACUAAUUAUCUCUAGAAGAUAUCUAAAUAUCUUUAACUUCAUUAACUAUUUAUGUGAAAUAUUUACUCAUUUCUUUGAAAAUUGAAACGUUUUUUUUUUUUUUGGAAAGUAUGUUUAAAGAGUGACGUGGUGACAUUGAUUAGCAAUUUUGACAGGGAUUGGAAAAAAGAAAAAAGUCACUUUCAAAGUAACUGAAAAAUGAACCGAUUAACCAAAAAGUGACGUGGUGACAUUAUUUAAUCAUCAUAUGUCCGUUUCCAUAAGAAUGGCAUCGUUUCUUUUUCAUCUUAUAAAUCAAAAAACAUACUGUUAACUUUCGUGCUGAAAUAGAUCCUUUGAUUAGUUGAAGAUGGUGAAAAAAAAUCCCUGAUGGCUUUGAUUGACUUUUAUAAUAAUGCCUAUAUUUUCCCCCAAAAGUUCAAUUGGUUAGAAAUUCACUUUUAUGGUGUGACAUGUCUGUUAUUAUCUCUGCUUUAAAUAUUACCAGUGAAAUGCAAUAGGUAUAAGUUAAUCUUUAUUCGUCAGAAAAGUUGCUAAAUUGUUGUAAUCACCAUCCCACAGUAUCUUUUAUAAUUUUCGCUAGUACUAUACUGUAUAUUACAUCAAAAAAUCUACUGUAUGGAACGGGGAUUUUAAACCUCAAACUUCCCUCAAAAGUUUCCACACAAUUCGCAUAUAUUUCACCAAAAUAAACUAAAGAAAUAGGAUAUAACAAAAUAGACAUAAUCAUAUUUGAAAUAGUCAAGACAAUUGGAAAUUAGUCCCAUAAGUAUUUCAAUUUCUAAAGUUAAAUAAAAAUCUCUCAAAUCGUACAAUCCUUUAAUAUUUUUCUGACACUAUUUAUCAUCUUUCAACAUUUUCGUCCAUUCAAAACAGAAUUGACUUUUCUUUUUCAUUUUUCCAAACACCUGUAUCGUGUGCUCUUUUUGCUAAUGUAAAGAAGUGAUUGGAUCAACAAAAGAGUGAUAUUAAAUCAUAGGAACGAACUAUUUCAAAUUAUAUCAAGAAACUAAAGCUGCUUUGUUUGCCCAACAUCUCUUGGUCAAUUUCUUGGUUUAAUUCAUCGCCAUUGAUCAGCCAUGAGCCUAUGAGGCUUUCCAAACGGACAAAAUAUAACAAAAGGACAUGAACAUUGAUAAUUUAAGUAAAAGAUAAAACAUAGUUGAAAAAAUUGGCCUCGUGAUGAAAAUCAGAUAUAAGAAUACAAGGUUAUGGAUAUAAUAAUGAGCAUGACAUUUUCCCCGAUUUAUCAAGUUUUCUUCUUCUUCUUUUAUUUUUAAAAUGGUCAAGUUAGUCUAGCGAAUUCUAGCACAAAAGAGGCAUUGUCCCGAAAUAUAUAAAUAAUAUAAUACAACUUAUAGCAGAUAGUAAUGUUUGUUAUAAGGAAAUCCACUCUUUAUUAUACACCUAACCUAAUCCAUGAAAUGAGCAAGGUGAAUGGGAUAAAACCCUAAAAAAAUGUAAGAUUUUCCUAUGUAUAUUCUUGAGGGGAUUUUUGCUAUCUAUUAAGAGGAAAUAAGAAUGAAAAGAGAUAGAUAUAACUUAGGAAGCGCUGACACUCUUCAGGAACCUUAGUGUAAUGUCAAACACUCCGAUACGUGUCCAACACUCUCCAACACUCUCUAAUACUUGGUCAAUUCUCCUGACACUCAAGUCCAAAAUUUUGACAUGCGAGUUCGGAAUUCUGACACAUGAUUCUAAUAUGCACAUGAUCAAUUUUAAAAUUUUUCAAUAAGAGGAAUCAAAAUAUAAAUAUGUAAAAAAAUAAAAAAAUAAUAAAAUUAAUAUAGACAAGAAAAACCUAAUAUUCUCUUCUCUUUUGACUCUCACUUCACGUGAGAUACAAUUCACCCCCAAGUUUUGACACACUAAUCCAGAAUAUGCAUUGCUUGUUUUUUUCCUCUUAAGUUUUAUAAAUUAUUGAAACGGAGUUGAAUUUGUCAAAUUAAAACAAUGAUAUCAAUAAAUGGUGGAUUAAUGUUUUUAGUGUAAAUGCAUUAUAAGCUCUUUUUAUAUUUAUUUAUUCGUGAAUUUGAAUAAAAUUUUAAUUAAAAUGAUCAUUUAUAUAUAAAAAUAUACAUUUCAUAAAUAACAUGUUCAAACAUGUUGAAAUUCUAUAUUUUUUUACAAACGUGUGGACGUGUCGUGUCGUGUCACGUUGCAUGUCGCGUGUCGGUGUCAGUAAUACUUAGAAUAUAACUAAUAGAGGGAGCGGUAUCUUCAAAAUCAAAAUGGAGAAAAAAAUAUCAAACAUUCAAUUCCUAAAUCAAAAGAGCACCACAAUACAUUCGGCCAUACUAGAGAGCAAACAUAUGUGAUAAUUGUGAAAUUUUUUUCCAAUCAUAUUGUUUGAAUUAAUUAUCGGUUAUUAUACUAUCAUUUUUUUCAACUAGGAAAUCUUCAUUUAUUUGAUCUAUGAUGUUUAUACUUCAUCUUCAUUCAUAAUUGUAGUCCUUCUAAUUAUCAAUAUUUUCAACUAGGUACAACAAUUACAUGCUUUAAGUAAAAUCUUAAAUUGAUUGUCAAAACAAAUUUUUACGUAAGUAAUUUAUAUAAAUGCAAUUGAAUCAAUGAUAUAACUUUUUCAUCCUUGAGAUGCUUAUAAAUUAUUUAGUGUCACAAUUAAUCUAUGAUGGGCAUAAAUGGAUGUUUAAAAAGAUUUUUUUUUUCCCUAGAAAGUAAAGAGCAUCUUUUCAUGCUGGAUGAAAUAUUAGAAUAGAUGACCUUAAAUUUAUUAAAAUAAGGGGGAGAGAAGGAAAAAAGUGCCAUAUUUUACCUCAAGAUGUCUUAGCACUCUUGGGACUCUUGGGACUCCCUCAUAAUCGUUGUCCCGUGGUGUACUGCAUUUCUUAAGCAGUUGUUCUUGGUGAAAAAUGCUCCUUCCAAGAUCUCUCAGUUGAUCAUGCACAAUAAACUCACCAUAAUCUCCGAUUUUAAUUAAGCACCUCAACUUCAACUCAUUAAUUCCUAGAUUUGGAAAAAACUCACAGUCCUCCCACAUGUACAUGGCAUAUUGUAUAAAACAUUCAUGGUUUAGUUCAUCAAGAAAUAAACAAACAAUAUCGAGAAAAAUCUGCUUAUGUCCAUCUUCUAAUGCAUCAUAGCUUAUUUGCAAUUUCUCUUGGACUCCUUUAUGUAGUUGCUUUUUUAAUUGCCUCCGCACAUCUUCCCAUACUUUUGGAUCCAUUUUUCCAUACAAGGAAGAACCUACAACCUUAAGAGCCAAGGGAAGCCCACCCAUGGUGGAUACAAUAUCACUAGAUAUACCCUCAAAGUCCCUUGGAGAAUGGUCCUUACGAAAUGCAUGUCUGUUAAACAAAAGCAAAGCACUCACCUCAUCCAAUUCAUUCAAUUCAUACUUGUAGUCUACCUUGAAUUCAGAUUGAUCAAGAAUAGCUUCAUUUCUAGUUGUAACAAUGAUCAAACUUCCUGCCAUAAACCAAUCACGUUCCCUAGCCAACGCAUCAAGUUGAUUCUUACCAUCUACAUCGUCCAGAAGAAUGAGAACUUUUUUUCCUUUGAAUUUAUAUUUGAUGAUAUUAAUUCCAUCAUCAGUUCUAGACACGUGACUUUUGCUUAGUAGUAUAUCCGAUAUUAAUUGACUUUGUAAAUCUGCAAUCCCCUUGCACCUAGUAGUUUCUCCAAUGUUUGGAAGGAAGCUAGCACACACAAAUGUAUUCGAGAGUUGAUUGUAGAUGCACUUGGCAAGAGUUGUCUUGCCUAUCCCGCCCAUGCCAUAAAUUCCAAUCAUUCGAGCAUUGAUGGAAGGACUGUCUAUCCAGUUCAUAAUUUCCUUCAUAUGAGCAUCAAGUCCAACUAGUUGCUUAGGCACAUCCAGCUGAAAAUAUUCCUGUAACUUGUUUAUAAUAGUUUCGACCACACGUUCUACUAAUUCUCCCUCAUGCCUGUCAAACAACAAAAACAACGAGAGAUUAUGAACCUUGACAUAGUUUGUGAAGUUUUCAAUCCUUACCAACUAAGCUCACCCUUGUUGGCUAUAGGAGGUCAAUUUUAUCUGGUGGUGAUCAAGUUUUGGAAGACUGGGCAUUGGAGUCCUUUGUAGGCCUAUUGUUUAGUGAUUGAUACUAUUGGCUAGAGGUACGGUCUUUUUUUUUUUCUUUUUUUUUGGCUCUCUAGCAGAGGACAACGUAAAAUUCUUGGGCACUGUGGGAAGCUUUGGUUUUAGUUGUCGUUAAUUUAGUUUUCAAGGUCAUCUUGGGGAGUAAUGGUGUUUGUUGUCUUCGAGGCAUUAUGGUUGUUUAUUGGGCCAUUUUGGGGAUCUUUUCUGAGCUUGCAUUGAAUUAAUUCAUUUGCAUUUCAUUGGUUCUGCGAGAAGAAGAAAACUUAUCAAAAAAAGAAAAGUUAUAUGAAGUACCCGUUGGCAAAUUUCUCAGAUUCCCAUCCAUGUAAGAAACUGACUUCAUUAAGUGCCCGCGGCCCUUCCAGGAUAUCCUCCUCAUUAAGAUACUUCUGACUUGAACGGAAGGCGUCCCCAAAACUCUCAUUUAGAUACCGCACAUCCGAUGGCUUCACUUCGUAAAAAAUUGGCAACACUAUGUGUGACAUGCUAUUCUUACAAUCUAUCAUAUGAAUGAGCUCACGGAGGCACCAUUUACUCGUAGCAUAAUUUUUGGAGAUGAUGGGGAUCGAAAUUUUAGACCGUGAGAUGGCACUGAGAAUCUGUGAACCAAAUUCCUCACCAAUUGGGAUGCUGUUAUCGUCCCUGAACACGGAAAUAGGUACAGUCCCUGCAUUGACCAAUCUAUGGUAGAGGUGAUCGGCAAAUUUCUUUCGAGUAUCUGAGCCACUAAAGCUCAAGAAUACGUCGUAUUGAUGACCACCUUGUGUUGUGGGCACCAGAGAGAUGAACGAAGAAGUGGAUGCUCCCUCAGUGCUCUCUUCCUCUGCUCUCUUUCGCUUUCUCUGACUCUCCCCUCUGUCCAUGGUGAUCUGAGAGGGGAAGUUGAAAUGAAAGAUGCUUUUUCUGCUGCUUCAAAGGAUUGAUGAACAACAAAAGACACUUUUAGGAUGCUUUUCUGCAAAUGCUUGUUGGCUUGGUCCACUCCAAAUAACGUGGACGUUAAUUUCUCCCCAAGGCAAUGCUGAAGGAGUUUCGAAUUCUUGAGAAAGACAUUUUGAUGACACGGCCCUCAGUUAAGUAAGCUGACGUCGUUUCACUGUGGAAGAUUAGGUGGCCCUAAAAAGGCCCCCGAAAAGCCCACAUCAUUUACUUGUUUAGAAACACAUAGUUGAAACACAUAUAGAUAUUAAAACACAUAUGAAAACAGACUGAAGUGUAAAAAAUUGAACAACUACAUAACUUCAUGCACGUUAUGAUAUUCUAAGACUGAUUCUUUCGAUUCGCACCUAAGAUACUGAAACUAUGUUGGAAACGCUAUGGAAGCAUCUUCCCUUAAACAAAACCUCACAUGAUGCCUAAUCCUUAUCAUAAUCUUCAACCUUACUCUUAUUAAUUUUGGCCUAAUAAUAAACAACCCUGACUAUGUCCCCCACCUCAUCAUCACAAUCCCUUCUCUAUCUAAUCCCAUUUCCAUUGGCCAAACUAAUGUAGUGUCACGUAAUUGUUGCCCAAUAACCUCAUCCUCUAGAUGUGUGCACUUUUCUACUCGCGAUUUUAAUUUUGCAGGGUUCAAGUUUAAGGCAUCGCUCAUAUGUAAAAUUAACUAAAGCUGAAAUAUUAAUCGCGGAAAAAUUUUCGAUUGCCCAGUUGCUUAAAUUAUGAAGGAAGUCGAUGAAAAUGAUUCUAAAUGAAAGACAACUACUUCCUUUUGGGCCCACGUUUUCUUUUUCCCUUUCUAGAAGUGCAUAGAAAUUAGGAAAUGUAAAAGUUGCACUUUUCUUCCAAAAUUGACCUUGCUUCCUUUUUUAAGGAUGAAUAAAUGAAGGAUGAUCAAGUCUAUCAAUGAAAUUAAGUUCCAUUUACAUCAUUUCCACCCAACAUGUAUACGAACAUAUUUCAAGGAAUUUUAACCUUCCCUCUCAUGGUCUGCCUGUUUUUUCAUUCUUCAUUUUGAAAUUUUGAAAUUUAUGGCUUUAGUAUGCUCAAAAUUGGGCCUUUUGUGGGAUAAAAAUUUAUGGCUCUGAAAUAAGAUUAAUAUUAAUACAAAAGGCUGCGUCCCACUUGUAGUUCGAAUACUGCGGGAAGCAAUUUUGCUCUUUGCUUUAGAUGUAAUGCAAUAUGUUGCAUCCUUUUGCAUGUAUACAAAUUAGCAUAUCAAACGGUGUCGUGUUGACAUUUCAUAUGGUGAAACAUUUGAUAUUCGCAUUUGUUGUGUCAUGUCAUCUGACCCGCUUUAUUAAAAGAGGCGUGUUCAUAUCGUGGCAGUUCAACACGUUUACUAAACACUUCUUGUUCAGCUUUUGUCAUAUUCAUGUUAUAUCCUACUUCGACAUGACACGACAAAAAUCCCCAGCUAUAUCUUUAAACACAUGACCGCUCACAAAACCAAUGGAAAAUAAAUAAAAAGAAUGUCCAAAGUCUCUGAAUUUUUGUGGUAUUUAAGGACCGCUCGACGAAACUUAUACUUGAUUUUUUUCCGAAAAAAAAAAAAAAAGAAUUGCUAAAGUGAACAAGUCUCUCGGCCUUUGUUCUCGGAUCAGGGUACUCUCCCUCCUGCUUAACUUCAAUCAAUCUUAGACCUCUUUGUUCUCUCUACUUGUGUUUUGGUUCAAAUUCGGUGAUUUCAUAUUUUCAUCUUAUUUAAAAUUGCUAUAUUCUUAAUGAAGUUGUAAAUGUGAGGUAGACACCAAUUUAAUUUUAUUUAAAUUAUCGAUUGAUAUAUUGUCUACAAAAUAGAGCUAUAAUUUCUUAAAUGACACCCAAUGAGCAUGACAGAUUAAAAUCAAGUUACUAAUGAUAUAUGAAAUACUUGUACACUGUCAUUUCUUUUAUUAAAAUUUUGUUGGCAUAUUAUUCACCUCUUGAAAAAUCAGUAGACCAAUGAAAAAAGAAGUAUGCGAAAUAUUUUUAAAAAAAAAAAGAAGAAGAUAAUUUCGGAGAAAGCAUAAAAAAGAAGGGAAUGAAGUGUCAAAUGAAAUCUCCUUUAACUGAAGACUUACUCUUAGGAUGAUUGGUUUCAAGAUGAUUAGGUUCUAAGCUAAGAAUUAGGAAUUUAUACAAUAAUAAUCGGUUCUCCAUUUUUGUAUCCGAGAACCAAACUAGCUGACCCCAAACUGGCUGACUUUUAUUUUUCUGAUUUAUUUUUCUAUAAAUUGAUCUAGGACCUUCAAACACAGAGAAACCUCACAACGCAUUAAAAUAUAUAUAUAUGGAUUCAAGCAAAAUAUGGAAAUUUUGCGCGCAAUAGAUUCUGGCGCACUUGCAGAUCUACUCAUUCUAGUUCAACAAAAGAUUAAUACUGAAUUGCAAUGCAACUAACAAUCUGACAACAAGGCCAUCAUGGCAUUAGCCACAUCUAAAGUUGAAAACAAAGGAUUUCUUUUUUCACCGAAGUCAAAUCUAAGCGGGGGGACAUACCUCGUCAACAGGCAGCAGCGACUCCAAAGAAAGAAUAAAAGACCCUCCUCAGCUAUUCAGCAGCCACCCCACAUCGCCAAUAGACAAAAAGGGCCCAAAACACACUAGUUCAGCCCAUCAUUAUUCCAAUAACAAAGCAGCGGAUCAAUAGAAACGACACGCUAAUUAGACAUGAAAAAGCAAUUACCUCCCGCGACCUGAGACGCAAAGAGAGAUGCGACAUCAGAGAGAGGAGACCCUAAACAAGCCUAGGUGAGAACUUUCGAGAGGGAAAAGAUCAAAGAAAGCAAAUGAGGACGAUGGUUUUGAAUUGUUCUGCAAAAGAGAGGCCAAACAUGAGAGAGAGAGAGAACAUUUGGACCAGAGUAUAGAUUGACNNNNNNNNNNNNNNNNNNNNNNNNNNNNNNNNNNNNNNNNNNNNNNNNNNNNNNNNNNNNNNNNNNNNNNNNNNNNNNNNNNNNNNNNNNNNNNNNNNNNACCAUUUUGUUAAACAGAUAAAUGUAACUCUUGCUAAUUUUUCAUUAUGAUAUUAUCAAAGACGUUCUUCCUCCUGUAAAUGCUACAUUCUCUCCCACCAUGAACAUGCAUUAAUCAUAUUGUCAAAUCUAUGGUAGGUCUGUAACUUUCUAUGCUAUAUAUAUAUGUAAAAGUCACAUAUUUGCUGUAAGCAAUUAAAUUACAUGAAAACCACACUUUGUGACGAGUUUCUCUAAUUCAAUCCGCUAAGACAGUCCACCUAAAAAUUGUCCACAUAUUAAAUAUGUGUAAGUACAUCGAAACCAGCAGCUUUGCUCAAUUUCAAGUUUUCCAUUGUAACCAACACGCGAAGGAAAAAAAAAAAAACAGUACAAUUAUGCAUAAUUUCUGGAAAACAUUUGAAUUUUCUGUCAUUUCUAGAAAUUACGAAAAUUACCAAUAUAAUGGAAAAUAGCUUUAUGGACAUUCAAAAAUUCUCCAGUUGAUAUGAUGUGUUCAGAUAAUUUUUUGUUGUUGACAAUUCUAAUCCGCAGCCUUUGAAAGGUUUUGUGCGAUUAUCGAAGAGAAUAGACCAACACAAUCAAUAUUUGAAAAAAAAUCUAGUUUUUAACUGUUUCCAAGGAAAAAAAAAGAAUUACUUUUCCAAAAACGGAGUAUUUUGGAUGUUUCAGGCUUUAUUGCGUCUAGAAGGGUAUUUUCGUAAUCUUAAGACAGGCCUUUUGUCCCAAGGGAGUUCAGUCAACCAUAUAAGUUUUGCAAACAAUAUGGGGAUGAGGGCCAGCACGUGAUUCCACCCAAUUCAAUCAGUCUAACCAUUCAUAACCAAUUAGUUUAAAUGAGAAGAUUGUAGUAACAAAAAUUAGCAAUAUAUAUGUGAUGAUGAUUUUACGAAAGUCGAGGGAAUUUCACAUGUAUUAUUAUACAUGCAUUAUUAUGUAUGCCUUAAAAGGAUGUUAGAAGUUAUGGGAUGAGUAAUAAAUAAUCACGCGUAUUUUAUUCUUUGUGCUAUCAAUUGGAAUAGACCAGAGAAUGAAGGUUGUGCUUACCUCCAGGAGCGAUUCAGAGAUGAAAUAGCUGUAACGGGUUUCAGUGUUUGAGAAGAAGUCGCCUUGAAGUAGAUCGAGUUGGGUCCGAGUCCCGAAAGGCCGCGCAAUCCCGAGGAUCACCUUCACGCCUCGACCUAGACCGGCUUGGUUUGGAAAGACACGAAGGCAAAUUUGCAGAUCAUCUCAGGUCAGAACGUCGCGAGAAAGGACGAGUAGUGGCUACGAAAUCACCAACUACAUACGGGGAACUUGCUAUCUUUCGAUACAAUCCAGAAACGACCUCGUGUUCCGCCGAAGACCCCCCAAAUCCAGGAACCCUAAUCACCUCAGCGGAGUCCGUUAUCAGAAAUUAUAGCAAGCGGAACACUAAAAAGUUCGAAACUCGACACGAUUCGAGUUGAUUUUACCUGCUGAUUGGUGCCCGCCGAAAAACCAGUCCUUUGAAGCCGGUGGUUCAGAAGGAGCGACUGCAGGUGCUCUUCGCGACGGCCUCGGGUGUACUGCUUGGGUGGAUUCGCGAAAAAGAAGAUCGCUGCUUCCUCCGCCGAUUCAAGCCGAAGUUCUCGCUCUGGUCGUAGAGGCUUCGAUGUGCUUCAGACCUGGAAGUAGAGAGAACUUAUACGCGGGGGUCGGACAACGCGGUUCCGUGUUGACUCUCUCUGGUGGAAGAUGGUCACGUGCCAUGGUUAGGUGGAGGCACGUGUCUUGGACGCCCAAGCCAAAGUUGGCUAAAUUGCAAAAGAGUGUCGGUGGCCCACCGUGGAACAACGGAGAAUCAAAUAGCUGCUGAUUGGCAGGCGAAGGGCGAGGGCUCGCUGCCCUGACGCACGGCAAGCAGGAGCCGAGAGCCCUCGUGAUCAGGCUGCCAGUUAUCACUAGCCAUACCAUAUAAGACGUUCAUUAUUCAAAUCAAUAAUUUUCAAUCAAAAUUAUUCAAAUAGACUAUAUUAGAAAAUUAUUAAUAAGUUGAAAAUUAAACAAGUUGAAUUAAAAAAAUUAUGAUUGAAUUGGUACGAAUAUAAUAAAUUUAGAACUUUUUUGAUAAUUUUUCCUCAUUAAAUCUUAUGGAAACCACACUAAAUGAUAAGUUUCUCUAAUCCAAUCCACAAAUGUCUUCCUAGAAAUUUCUUGUCAAUUAAAUUAUUUUAGAAUGAAAGGUCACCUUCCUCCCAUGAAGUUCACGACGGGUUCUAGAAUUUUCCUCCCAUGUCUCUUUUUGAUUUUAACCUUUUUGGCCAAGACCCCAAAAUAAUUCCUUCUUCGAAAUUGCCAAGACCUCUUUUGAUUCUUACCUUUUUGACCAAGAGCUCAAAACAAUUCCUUCCUCGAAAUUGCCAAGACAACUAACCUUUUUGACUAAGAGCUCAAAACAAUUCCUUCCUCGAAAUUGCCAAGAUGACCCCUUUGUAGACUUUCCUUGUUAGUUUUUUUUGUUAUUUGAUCCAUUGGCCAAGCAAAUCAUAGUGAAAAUUAAAUUUUUGAAGAUGAGCAGUACUUUUGCUUUAUCCUCACCUUUUGACAAUGGCUCCGCUUGGCCACUCAAUUCAAAUUGAAGAUGGGCGAUACUUUUUGCUUUAUCCUCGCCUUUUGCUUUUCCUGCCCCAUUAAUUGAAAGAGUACAUACUUUUAUGUUGAAGUCAAGGUGUUCACAAUCAAAAUUAGUUUUCACACGAUGCUAUUUCAAAAGAGCCCCACAAUCAUCUACUUUAAUUGGCAACUUCCGCAAGGUGUUCACAUUGGAAAUUACUUCCCCUCUUACCUCAAAAGAUGAGCCAAAUGUGCUUGGGAUACACACAAUCCCACCGUGGAUUUAAUCGUCCCUGUUGAAAAAAUUUACUACUUUAAUCGAUUAACUCUCAACUUUUGUUAGUUCUCUAUGUAAUGGGAUCGCAUGACUGCAUAAAUCAAAGUGAAGAUGGACAACAUUUUGCUUUCCCUUCCCAUUGAAAUGAAAGCCUCUCACUGCUGGAGGCAUUGAAAUGGUAAAAAAUUUACAUUUUAACUCAUAUUUAGUGACUCGAAUUAAAAAUAGAGGCAUCUUGUUGUAAUGACACUUGACUAGAUCUAGCGUCGCAUUUGAGUCAUUCUGACAUGCAUCGAGCUAUACGCGACAUCGGAUCUUGAUUAGAUCUAAUGUUGAGCCCAACACUGCAGUGGGCCAUCAUCGAGGAUUCAUAUCUCAAGAACAAAUAUGUUGUUGCAUCAAUCAAGCGCAACGCCAAAUUGAGUCAAUAGGAUAUUUCUCCAUACAUAACAUGCUCAUGUCAAUAUUUGCAUUUUGCAAAAGAAAUCUUUAUCAAGAAAGACUUUUUCGGAGAUUCUAUAUCAAUUUUUCUAUGAACCGAGUUAAUUAUCUUUUAAAAAAUUCUCUGGUGAGGGAAAGCAAGUCUAAGUGUUCCGCCAUCUUGCUUGCUUAGUUGCAAAGAAAGUGAUAAGGCAAAAGUCGACCGCGGGGGGGGGGGGGGGGACAAAGGGAAGUUAAAGUCUUCCACAAUCUUGCUUACUUAGCUGCAAAGAAAGGGAUAAGAUAAAAGUCGGCAAAACCUAAGGGGAAGAUUCUAGUGAUUACAAGCAAGUCAAGUCUUCUACCAUCUUGCUUGCUUGGUUGCAUCAGGAGAGGAGAGGCCAUUAUUUAUCUUGAAAAUAUUGUAUAAACUUAAUAAAUAAAUGAUGCGGCAGAAAAUUAUAAGAUAAUAAUUGUACCAAAAUUUGCAUUUUACGAUUGGGUUUCUUAUGGGGUUUGCACUGUUUCUCUUAAGUGUUUCUCUUAAGUAUUUUAAUAAAAUCUAGAUGUUCAACAAUGCUUCGUAAAUAUGUUAUAUAUCAAACUCUUCAAUUUGCAUAUUGUUCUGAUAGCAUACACGGUAAUGUUAUUCUUCUAUAAUUAUACUAUUUUCCUUUAAAAUGACAAGAGUAUGCAAUGGGUGUGAUCCUGAUGUUAAUUUAUCAUCAAGUGUUUGAGGAAAGUUGAAAUUUACAUUUGAAAGCUAUAUGUUACUUGAAAAUAUAAAUCAACAUAGCCAAAAGUAGUUACUUCAUUAAGUUGGUCAAAUUAUCAUCUUUAUUUAAAUUCAUAAAAUUAAUUUUCUUCUCUCUUGCUUGCUUUGCUUAUGCUGAUCGUGAAUUUUUUUUUUUUUAUGAGAUUUACAUUACAUCCAACAUUUUUUUAGUCCAAAUACAAUUCAGCAAAUAUAUCAGAUUUACAGAGUAAUUGCUCCAUAUCAUGAGAAUGCUAUUAAAAGGAGUAACAUGUAAAACUAGUGAGAUUUGUGCCUUUUGCUAGGAACAUACUUGUCGUUUUUUUGGCUUAAUAGAUAAUGGACAGUUAUGAUGAUAUGAAAAAUCUGAUUUUUGCUGGCUCUUAUUAGUCAUAAACCCUGGGAAUGAAAGGUAUUUAGGCACUCUCCAUGGCUUCAUUCGUUUCGCAUAAAAUGUUGUGGUUCUAGAAAAUAUUUUCCAGAAAGCCAUUUUUUAAGAAAAUAACAAUAUUUCCGAGUGUUCGCUUGAAACAUAAGAAUGAAUUGAAAAAUAUUUUUCGCCAUUCAGUGUGGAAAAUUCAAUUUGAUUUCUUUUUGUGCACUCAUUUUAAUAAUUUUUUUAUUUUUUUAAAAAAUCUAAAUUUUGAUUAUUUUAUUUUUAAAAUUUCUUUCUGCUUUUUUCCUUUUACUUUUACUUUUCUAUUUUUACCUUUUAUAUUUUUUAUAUUUUUUUCCUUCUUCUUUGGUCAAUCACCAACCACGGGAUGUGCCCGAAAAGAAGGAAAAAAAAGGGAAAAAAUGAAAAAUGAAAAAUGAUUAAAAAAUUUCAAAUUUUUUAAAAAAGAAGAAAAGAAAGAAGAAGAGGUUUGCAAGGGUGUGAGAUAAGAUAGAGUAAGUGAGGAAAAUGUUUUCCCCUAUUUUAGAAAAAACAUUGCUAUUAAUGCAAAAUAUUUUUCUCAACUAGUUCAUUUUCUAUUAAAUGAACCUUGAAAUAUCCGAAAAAAUUUUCUUGGAAAUUAUUUUCCGCGAAACGAAUGAAGCCCAAGUGUCUUCCAGAGCAAUAGUAGGAUAAAUGGAACACCAUUGGAUCUUUGACUCUUCCCUCUUUAUUCGAUACUAAUUCAUAUCCUCACCAUGAUUUGGACUAUACAAUGUCAUUGUUGUUCUUGUGUCCAUGUUGGGUACAUUCCUCUGGAGUUGAUUCUUGUAAAAACUAAUUUCACCCUACGGCAAUUAUUUCUAAAUUUCAUGCAAACAAGUUGGAUCUAUUUGACUUCCAAAAGUUGGCUAGUAAUGAACAUAGACUUCAAAGGUGCCGUAUAUGUCAGUGGAAUGAGUAAGUCACAAGUUCCACCGUUUCACGUUCUCUAGGUUAUUUUCACCAACUCUAUUAAUGUGCUUGGUGUAGUCUAUUCCCAAUUACAUCUCCAAUUCACUAGUAGACAAUGAAGAUGAAUACCUAGCAGGCCGUGCGGUGUUCUUCGAAGCAAAGACCAUAGAGGUUUGUGGGCACUACUUAAUGAGGCUGCAUUCUUUCUCUGUGGAUGGAUUGUAUUAUAUCGACUGACAUAUGCCACAUGCAUAUUUGAGAGUCAACUCAUCGUUAUCGCCAAUAUGUGCUCCAGUUGGAGCUCCCGACUCAGUCCCAAAGAUUUGUAAUAUGGAACAAGAAGCAUUGUGAGCCCCUCCAACUUGAACCUUGAAGCCCAAGGCAAUGGCUAUCAAAAAAAAGAGCGAGACAAGGAAUUUUGCCUUUAUGGCCAAUGCUAUUUCAUUGAAAAAGGUAUCACCCUUCUUGUUCACGAAUUCAAUUGACAUUAGGUGUUAAAAUGGAAUGACUCAAUUGCUUGACCGUUAAUCUAAAUCUUCGGGUCUCAGUCUCAAUAAAUUCUUCUUUUUUCAUGUAAUUUGCAAGCUCAUUCUCUCAUUCCAAGGUACAAGACAUGUAUCAAUGGAACAAAUCCACCAUGGUGUAAAACAAGAGCUUGAAUUAUCAUAUCAGAAAAGCAGAAUGUGAUUGUUUCAAGCAUGUUUUUGCUAUUAGUCAAAUUUCCCCUAAAAAAAAUACUAAAUCUGGACAGAAUAAGAAAGCUUCUGGGCGAAGUAAGCAUUAUACUUGUAAAUUAGCACAAGAAUGAAAGCAGCGAAAUGGAAGAUGAAAUCCCAAAACUACCCAUAUGGAAUCUGCAAAUCUAUAUAAAGCUACAACACACCAUUUUGAUUUGAACAAAUUCUCCAUAAUCUUUGCAACUCAAAGCCACCUAAGGAUUGGCAAGGAUCAAUCUCAUGAUCAACAACGACCAAAUUUGAAAGGAAAACAGACCGGAUCUUAUCAAAUUGAUCAUGAUUUUUCUUUGGUAUUGGUCAUUUUCCUCAAUAAUAGUAAUCUCCCAGUGAAAUAUCAUCUCGUAACUUUUUGAACAUGACGUAAUUUCCUUUCUGUAGUCGUAAGCUCUGUAGGUCUUAUAGUUUGUAAUAUUCCAUUAAAAAUUGUAAUCUACCUAAAUUUAUAGUAAAUUUCUUUUCUUAUUAUUAGUAAAUUGUCUAAUGGAUCUUAACUUUCAUUCGGCGUACAUAAUCAUCCUCACUAAUAGUAAUUUAUUUGUAAAAUAUCCUUUUGUAAUUUUUCUUAUGGAGGAUGUAAUUUUUGUUUGGACGUCAUAAAUCCUUGGAGUUUGUGCUUUGUAAAAUUUCAUAAAAUAGUAAUUUAUUUGGUUAAUGGUAAAUUUCUUUUUUUUCAUGUUUAGUGAAAUAUCUAAGUUGAUAGUAACUUUCUCUACACUUUGUAAUGUUUUGAGACUUAGGGCGCGUUUGGCAAUGAUUCUGUUCCCGAUAGCUGAUUCUGACUAGAAAUGAUUAUUUUUUAUUCUGUUCCCAGGAACUGAUUCUGAGUAAAAAAGCGCAUUUGGUAACUGUUUAAAAUUUUUAAUUCUGGAAUAGAAUUGCGUUUGGUACCGUAUUAAUUGAUUCUAUUUCAAAUUAAUUUCUUUUGAUUUUUAAAUAAAUUUUAAAUAAUUUCUUUACUUUUUUCUUUUCUUUUUUCCUCUUUUUUCUUUUUUUUUUCUUUUUUUUCCCUUUUUUUUCUAUUCUUCUUCUUCUUCAUUUGGCCGGCGACGCUCACCGGAGCGUCGCCGACCCUCGGCGAGGUCGGCCUUCAUCGGCCGAGCCUCACCGGCAGCUGAGCGAGGCUCGCCCAGCCCCGCCGAGGCUGGGCCUCGCCAGAUCUGGCGAGGCCGAGCCUCGCCGGUGGCCAGGCUAGCCUCGCCCAACCUCGGCGAGGCCAGCUUGGCCACCGGCAGGGCUGGGCGAGCCUCGCCAGUGGCCAGGCGAGCCUCACCGGCAGCUGGGCGAGGCUCACCCAGCCAUUGGCGAGGCUCGCCCUGGCCUGAUGCGGGGAGGCCGGGACUCGCCUUGGUGUGGGCCAGGUUUGCCUGAGUCAUUAUGAGGACCAGCAAAUCAUAUCAGGCAAGAAGCAUCCUUGUCAUUGAGUGACAACAAGCGACUAAUGCCGUCACUUUCAUUUACUGUAUGAGCUUGUUACAUCUCACUUGGAAAUAUCGGAAAACANNNNNNNNNNNNNNNNNNNNNNNNNNNNNNNNNNNNNNNNNNNNNNNNNNNNNNNNNNNNNNNNNNNNNNNNNNNNNNNNNNNNNNNNNNNNNNNNNNNNNNNNNNNNNNNNNNNNNNNNNNNNNNNNNNNNNNNNNNNNNNNNNNNNNNNNNNNNNNNNNNNNNNNNNNNNNNNNNNNNNNNNNNNNNNNNNNNNNNNNNNNNNNNNNNNNNNNNNNNNNNNNNNNNNNNNNNNNNNNNNNNNNNNNNNNNNNNNNNNNNNNNNNNNNNNNNNNNNNNNNNNNNNNNNNNNNNNNNNNNNNNNNNNNNNNNNNNNNNNNNNNNNNNNNNNNNNNNNNNNNNNNNNNNNNNNNNNNNNNNNNNNNNNNNNNNNNNNNNNNNNNNNNNNNNNNNNNNNNNNNNNNNNNNNNNNNNNNNNNNNNNNNNNNNNNNNNNNNNNNNNNNNNNNNNNNNNNNNNNNNNNNNNNNNNNNNNNNNNNNNNNNNNNNNNNNNNNNNNNNNNNNNNNNNNNNNNNNNNNNNNNNNNNNNNNNNNNNNNNNNNNNNNNNNNNNNNNNNNNNNNNNNNNNNNNNNNNNNNNNNNNNNNNNNNNNNNNNNNNNNNNNNNNNNNNNNNNNNNNNNNNNNNNNNNNNNNNNNNNNNNNNNNNNNNNNNNNNNNNNNNNNNNNNNNNNNNNNNNNNNNNNNNNNNNNNNNNNNNNNNNNNNNNNNNNNNNNNNNNNNNNNNNNNNNNNNNNNNNNNNNNNNNNNNNNNNNNNNNNNNNNNNNNNNNNNNNNNNNNNNNNNNNNNNNNNNNNNNNNNNNNNNNNNNNNNNNNNNNNNNNNNNNNNNNNNNNNNNNNNNNNNNNNNNNNNNNNNNNNNNNNNNNNNNNNNNNNNNNNNNNNNNNNNNNNNNNNNNNNNNNNNNNNNNNNNNNNNNNNNNNNNNNNNNNNNNNNNNNNNNNNNNNNNNNNNNNNNNNNNNNNNNNNNNNNNNNNNNNNNNNNNNNNNNNNNNNNNNNNNNNNNNNNNNNNNNNNNNNNNNNNNNNNNNNNNNNNNNNNNNNNNNNNNNNNNNNNNNNNNNNNNNNNNNNNNNNNNNNNNNNNNNNNNNNNNNNNNNNNNNNNNNNNNNNNNNNNNNNNNNNNNNNNNNNNNNNNNNNNNNNNNNNNNNNNNNNNNNNNNNNNNNNNNNNNNNNNNNNNNNNNNNNNNNNNNNNNNNNNNNNNNNNNNNNNNNNNNNNNNNNNNNNNNNNNNNNNNNNNNNNNNNNNNNNNNNNNNNNNNNNNNNNNNNNNNNNNNNNNNNNNNNNNNNNNNNNNNNNNNNNNNNNNNNNNNNNNNNNNNNNNNNNNNNNNNNNNNNNNNNNNNNNNNNNNNNNNNNNNNNNNNNNNNNNNNNNNNNNNNNNNNNNNNNNNNNNNNNNNNNNNNNNNNNNNNNNNNNNNNNNNNNNNNNNNNNNNNNNNNNNNNNNNNNNNNNNNNNNNNNNNNNNNNNNNNNNNNNNNNNNNNNNNNNNNNNNNNNNNNNNNNNNNNNNNNNNNNNNNNNNNNNNNNNNNNNNNNNNNNNNNNNNNNNNNNNNNNNNNNNNNNNNNNNNNNNNNNNNNNNNNNNNNNNNNNNNNNNNNNNNNNNNNNNNNNNNNNNNNNNNNNNNNNNNNNNNNNNNNNNNNNNNNNNNNNNNNNNNNNNNNNNNNNNNNNNNNNNNNNNNNNNNNNNNNNNNNNNNNNNNNNNNNNNNNNNNNNNNNNNNNNNNNNNNNNNNNNNNNNNNNNNNNNNNNNNNNNNNNNNNNNNNNNNNNNNNNNNNNNNNNNNNNNNNNNNNNNNNNNNNNNNNNNNNNNNNNNNNNNNNNNNNNNNNNNNNNNNNNNNNNNNNNNNNNNNNNNNNNNNNNNNNNNNNNNNNNNNNNNNNNNNNNNNNNNNNNNNNNNNNNNNNNNNNNNNNNNNNNNNNNNNNNNNNNNNNNNNNNNNNNNNNNNNNNNNNNNNNNNNNNNNNNNNNNNNNNNNNNNNNNNNNNNNNNNNNNNNNNNNNNNNNNNNNNNNNNNNNNNNNNNNNNNNNNNNNNNNNNNNNNNNNNNNNNNNNNNNNNNNNNNNNNNNNNNNNNNNNNNNNNNNNNNNNNNNNNNNNNNNNNNNNNNNNNNNNNNNNNNNNNNNNNNNNNNNNNNNNNNNNNNNNNNNNNNNNNNNNNNNNNNNNNNNNNNNNNNNNNNNNNNNNNNNNNNNNNNNNNNNNNNNNNNNNNNNNNNNNNNNNNNNNNNNNNNNNNNNNNNNNNNNNNNNNNNNNNNNNNNNNNNNNNNNNNNNNNNNNNNNNNNNNNNNNNNNNNNNNNNNNNNNNNNNNNNNNNNNNNNNNNNNNNNNNNNNNNNNNNNNNNNNNNNNNNNNNNNNNNNNNNNNNNNNNNNNNNNNNNNNNNNNNNNNNNNNNNNNNNNNNNNNNNNNNNNNNNNNNNNNNNNNNNNNNNNNNNNNNNNNNNNNNNNNNNNNNNNNNNNNNNNNNNNNNNNNNNNNNNNNNNNNNNNNNNNNNNNNNNNNNNNNNNNNNNNNNNNNNNNNNNNNNNNNNNNNNNNNNNNNNNNNNNNNNNNNNNNNNNNNNNNNNNNNNNNNNNNNNNNNNNNNNNNNNNNNNNNNNNNNNNNNNNNNNNNNNNNNNNNNNNNNNNNNNNNNNNNNNNNNNNNNNNNNNNNNNNNNNNNNNNNNNNNNNNNNNNNNNNNNNNNNNNNNNNNNNNNNNNNNNNNNNNNNNNNNNNNNNNNNNNNNNNNNNNNNNNNNNNNNNNNNNNNNNNNNNNNNNNNNNNNNNNNNNNNNNNNNNNNNNNNNNNNNNNNNNNNNNNNNNNNNNNNNNNNNNNNNNNNNNNNNNNNNNNNNNNNNNNNNNNNNNNNNNNNNNNNNNNNNNNNNNNNNNNNNNNNNNNNNNNNNNNNNNNNNNCACGUUGAAUGUGGACCGGUCCCGUAAAGGGGGGCCUCCACUUAUGGAAUUUCCAUCGUGAUUAGGACGUUUGAGCACAACAAGAUAGUGUUUCUUUUCGCCAAACACUAAAAUAGCGUAGAAACCUAUUUUCCCAAAUUAUUGAAGUUCGUUCUACUAAAAUAUAUAUAGAGGUAAAAAGGUACAAAAUGUAAAUUAAGAUAAGUAUUACUUUAUUAAUUUUUCCUUUUGCUGAUACACAGCAACAGAUAAAAAGAAAAUAUGAGAUGACUUCUCAUGGUCUUAUGGAUGCAAAGAGGCCUUUCACCCACGUUACCUUCUACCGAAUUCAAGAAUGACUUAAGCCCAGGAAAGAGGCUCUUUUGGAGAGAAGGAGAAGGCACGGCGGCGGGGGCGAAGAUGGAUAUUCAACAAACUUUGGUCGCGAAAACGGAAUUGGCUCCAAUCUCUCCCAUUCGCCAGCAGUCCCGCCAUAGCUGGCAAGGUUUUUCGAACAAGAGCAACUCAGGGGCACGCACGCACUCUUGAGAAGGUUGAAAUUCCAUUCCUGACUCGUGCAUGAUCGAUCGCUUGAAUCACUCCGCAGGUGAGAUUCCAUGGAGGAUCGGGGCUUGGAGGAGGUGGAGAAACCUCGGUUGUGCUCUCGAGUUCGGCUUCGACGAGCAAUCCGCCAGCAAGUGCUUGGACCGUCUCCUUUCCCUCUAUGGUACCUCGAAUCGUCAUUACCUCGUCGCCCAUUUUUUAUGCUGAUUAGCGUUUGCAGAGGUUGCGUUGGUCCUUCUCGUAGUCUGCUUUAGGUUUGAAUAGAUCGAAGCUGGUUCAGCGAAGUAGUCUUGCUGACGAGCGAAACGUCUAGUGCUGUUCCAGCUUGAUGUGUUUAGGUUGCUUUGGAUGGUGGCUUUUCUUGGUUAUUAGCGGAAUUGCAUGGUAUCUGGUCAUUAGGGAAUGACGUAAUUGGUUGUGUUGCGGGGAUGAUUUGUGAAUUGAUCGAUUGUGCAUUCCUAAAUAAGGAGAUUUAUUGCAGUUACGUCGUCAUUUUGACGAUGGCCAUGCAAUAGUCUACCUUUUGGAUUUGAAUGGACUAGAGGAACUGGUUAAUCCCGUCCUUAGUUCUCUGUGGGUUUUGCAGAGUAGUCUUCUUGACUAGCGAAAUGUCUAAUUUGUUUCUGAACUAACCGCAAAUUACAUAUUGUGUAGAUUGUAUUUAUUCGAUCACUUUUUUUUUUAUCAUGGAACUUGCAAAAUCAUCUCUCUUUUUUUUUGGUUUUCUUAGGGUGACGAAGGUCGAGAGUUUAUCACUGUGGACCACUGUGGCAAUGAUUUUCUAGCAGAACUUGCUGAAACUAUGCGAGACAUUGAGGAUUGGAAUGAUUUGCAAGUUGCGGAAUCAGAAACUUGUGGAGUUUUGACUGAUAUGUUUGGCCAAGAUACCCCUAAUGACGGUGAAUGCAAUGUUGUGACAAUGUUAAUAUUAUAUAGGAUUCUCCACAACCUAAAAAAAAAAUCAAACAUUUCUUGAGGUGGAUUCCUCUGCUGAAAGUGAAGACGAAGAUGAUAUAUUAUAUUUGGCAGUACCCUGAGCAAUUCGUCCACUCAACUUCUGGCCAGACGAUCUCUAGAAUCCAUCGUAUGCUUCUGAAAACUGUGAAGUUGUCUCACUCCUUUCUGCCCCCAACAGUUUGAAGGGAUUAAGAAAAAGAAAGAAAAGCAUGGUGGCUUGGCAUGUUUUUUCCCAUGCUCAAAACUAAUUUGGUUGAUAGUUGUUAAGUUUGUGGCUUAAGUUUUUGAUUCAUGGACCUGGAUUUGAUUAGUCCUUCUCAGAGAACUCUUGGGAAACGCUUUCCACUCGUCUCAUUCGUUUUUGACUGACUCUUGCAAUUGGGAUUUUGGUUAGUGAGAAAUUGAUUUUUUUCUUAUUGUAAUUCUCUCUGGGUCACUGUUAAACUACUCCGGUUGAUGUAGAUGAAACUGCCCGUCCCCUUAAAUUAGUGUGUCACUGUUCUUUGCUCUUAAAAUUAUGUGUUUCCUUGAUCAUUUCCAGUUCGCUUGCAAUUCUGCUCAGCAAGAAACCUUACGCAGUGUACCUGUAUAAAAGCAUUUAGCAAAUUGCUUAUGAGGGCUCUCAUCCAAUCAAAUGCAUACUAGACACUCCUAACUUGCCAGUUACUUCCACAGUCUGUAAGAUCUAGAAUGACUUAUAUAAGUACAGUUUGGUCAGUAAAAAUGGUUCAUUCUUGUUUUGGAUAUAAAACAAUAGCUAUAUUUCUCAAAUAAUUUGAGAGUGUGGUACAUCAGUGUUGAACUUAGCAUCCAGCGUCUUUGAUAGGUGUGUUUUGCAAAAUGGAUGCUCGGGAUUUCUUGGUGCACAAUUUUCAUUUUCCAUCACCACAUGUCAAAACUAUUUAUGGUGCUGAAGAGGUUUAUUUGUGUUGAAGCACUGUAAGAGCACUGUCACUCGUGGUUUGAUAUCAUCAGUUUCAAAUAAACGACAUCGCUCUCGGAUUUCGACAUGCAAACGAGGAAGUCUGAGUUAUGAAGAAUUGCAACCCUUGGAUGACAUAGAAUUGGCAAAUUUUGUAAUAUUCGGAAACAAGGCAUUUCGACCAAUGUAGCAUCAGGCUUGCAAAGCUUCUGUAGCCAAGGAGGAUUGCUCCAUUCUCAUGCCCACUGGAGGUGGUAAAAUUUUAUGUUACCAGGUCAGCGAAAGUUAACAUUAUUUCAUUUGCAUAUUGAUUGAAUGUAGAAGUAUGCAUGGAGACAAUGUUUAGAGCACAAGCCCUGUGCACUUUGGUGAAUGGUUCCACCAAUUAUAUACUAGACGGGUAGACCUAUUUAUCGAAAUUUAAGCUAUAAAAUGAUCUUGCAAUCUGCUUUGUUAGAACUGUUGAGAAGUUUGUGCUGAAAUACAGGAUAUUCUUGUUCUGCCUUUGCCCAUCUCUGUCCAUUCCGUAAUUUCUAGAACUUGAGGUUUGUGCUAUGCUUCUAGGACCUUCUAAUUACUUACUGGAAAAUUUAUCUUGUUUUUGCAUGUAAGUGUUGUCAUCAGUCAUAUUUCAGGUCCAAUUCAAAAGGGUUAUUAAGUCAAAGAGGAAUAAGUAUUCAAAAUACUUGCACCAAAUACGGACCGUAUAUGUCUAUAAAUCCUAUGUAGGUAUGUGCUAUGUCAUCAUCUCAACUAAAGGUGAUCAUUUCCAUAAUUGGUUUGAAAUGGAUGUCCUUUCAUAUAAGAUGGAUCUUGGAAGCAUGCAAAAUAUCGGGUCCCCUGACACACAAAGGAAGAUAUUAACCUGAAUUUGUUAAGUUGAAUUAUCCUGAAAUGUUUUCUGUUCAGUCUUGAAUUAGUUCGUAUAUGUUUCUAGCUGAAGUAAUUAUAAGACAAAUAGUGAUGACUAGUGCUUUCUGAUCAGCUGAAGGUGAACAAAAGAGUUAUUCCCCCAUCCCUUCAUUUGCUCUUCUGGUGUUUUUACCCUUCAUUUCAGCUGUCAGCAACUCUUAAACCAGGUGUCACAGUUGUUAUAUCUCCCUUGCUAUCUCUCAUCCAGGAUCAAAUAAUUACCCGAACCCUCAAGUACAGAAUACCAUCAACUUUCUUGAACUCUCAGCAAACCACUGCCCAGGCAGCAGCUGUCCUCCAAGAACUAAGGCAAGGUUUAGCUCUCUCUCUCUCUCUCUCUCUCUCUCUCUCUCUCUGUGUGUUCCUACUGAAGUAUAUCCUACCAUACAAUCUUUAUCCCGCCAUAAAAUUUUUUGCUCCAUAUGUUGCAAAGGAUGUACAUUUUUAUGUAGUUAUUGAAAAGAUGCAUGCCUAAGAUGUUUCCCUUAAAAAAAAUGUAGCAUCUUGGCCUUCCGAGAGAAGUAUAUCAUACUAUCCAAUCUUUGUCCUGCCAUAAAAUGUUGGGCUAUGCUCCAUAUGUUGCAACGGGAUUUCCAUCGGACUUCUAAAACUUUUUUUUCUUUUUGGCUGAGUGUUGGGAUUGUCAAGUCAUUAAUCUUCACUGCUUUACCUGCCUUUUCAGGAAAGAUAAACCAUCGCGCAAGCUGUUGUAUGUGACUCCUGAAAUGAUUGUGGGAAACUCAUCAUUUCUCGAGAUAUUGAAAGGCUUGCAUAGAAAGGGACUAUUUCNNNNNNNNNNNNNNNNNNNNNNNNNNNNNNNNNNNNNNNNNNNNNNNNNNNNNNNNNNNNNNNNNNNNNNNNNNNNNNNNNNNNNNNNNNNNNNNNNNNNACAUUGUAACUUUUUCUGAAAGUUUCUUUUGGACUUUUUGAUAUGCGGCCAUCACGCAUUGCAGGCACAACUAAUUGGUUUUGUUGUUGAUGAGGCACAUGGUGUGACGUAUGCUCUUUGGCAUCCUUGUAUCUGAAGCAAAGAUCAUGCUAGAGUUACAUUAAAAGGAAUAAGUAUUUAUGAUGUUCGCACUGCAAAAGUACUGUCCUUGUUCGAGAUAGAGAAAAGCAAGUUAACUUUUAUAUAUGCUGACUCAAACUCUUUUUUUUGAACAUUUUUACUUCUGUGUUUCUGGCCUAAUUACAUUGUCAAUGUCACGCUGAACCUUCUUAAACCCCUAAAACCCAGACCUUCUGUGGAGUUCUAGUAUAACAGAAUGCAAUAUUGAAAUAACUUAUUAUGGAAAUGGUCUAGUUGCUACUUUUGUGAAAAAUCAGUGGCACAUCAUUUAUCAUAGUAAGCACAAUGCAGACAACUAAAUUUAGCUCCAUGGAAAUUACUUUCGGAAGUAAUUGAAAGUGUCCAUGUUUGGCACAAUAGUCAGGUCUUUUACGCUGGUUCUUGUCUCCCUACUUAUUCUUUUAACUUUUAUACCAUGUAUUAACAACUUGAGAUAUAAGGCAAAAGUUCACGCAUGUGAUCAUUGAUUGUGUUUCUUAUAAGGUCUUUAUUGGACUAGCUCUGCCAGUGCAAUUUUGUGAAAGGAACGUAUUGAUGUUUUGAGCUUUUCUCAAAUAUGUGAAUGCUUGUAAACGAGUAAAGUUUAUUGAUCAUUACUUUCUUGAUUGUCAUUAUUGCAGUCAAUGGGGACAUGAUUUUCGUCCAGAUUAUAGGGGACUAGGAUGUCUCAAGCAAAACUUUCCAUAAGUCCCAGUGAUUGCCUUAACUGCAACUGCCACUCAGCCAGUUCGUGAGAUACAAAACUUGCACAUUAUCCUCCAAAUAAUGUUGAAGAAAUCAUUUGGGUCUGAUUGAAAUGUACAUCCAUUGCAGGAUAUCCUAAAAGCUCUCAGGAUCCCCCAUGAUCUUGUUCUCUAGACAAGCUUUGACAGACCAAACCUAAAAUAUGAGGUGAUAUUUAAGACCAUGGAACCACUGAAGCAACUUGAAGAGCUGCUAAAGAAACAUUUUGCUAAUUUGUGUGGCAUAGUGGAUCGCCUCUCAAAGGGUGAAUGUGUUGAUAUUGCAAAAUACUUGAAUGAUAAGUGCGGUAUAAAGACGGUGUACCAUCAUGCUGGAUUAGCAGCCCAUCAAAGAGUAGCUGUUCGAAAGAAAUGGCAUACUGGAGAGGUCCUGGUUGUAUGUGCAACCAUUGCUUUUGGAAUGGGAAUAGACAAACCUGAUGUUGUAAGUUGAAAUGGACUCUAAGCCUUUGCCUAUUUUUAGUUUUAGAGUCAAGCUGACAUGCUGGCAAAUACUCAACUAAUUUACAUUUUUUUUUUUUUUAAGUUUUAGUUUCACUGAUUGGUUUAUUAGUGUGCUUGAAAGUAAACUUUGCUGGUUCCAUGGUCCAGUGGCCUGGUAAAUUGUCAUUCUUGGUUAUUGAUUGCAACUAGCGAAUUAUGUGUUUUUUAUCAAGUCAGAUUCUUUCUCCCGUGCAUGGCACUUCGUUGUGCUGAAAUUAAGUUAAACUAGGAUAAAGUUAUUUUCUUUACUGUAAAAGUGGCAAAUGAUUCUGAUCUAAUUUGUCCUCCUGAUAUAAUUUUUAUAUCAUAUUUCAACUUUGAUGGGUCAGUAAGUAUGUGUGUGUGUGUAUUAUUUUAUUUUUUUAUGGCAUGUGGUCAGCGUUUUGUCAUCCACAACGCAAUGUCCAAGUCAAUCGAAAGCUAUUACCAAGAAUCAGGGAGGGCAGCAAGAGAUAAUCUACCAGCAGUGUCCAUUGCUCUAUAUGCCAAAAAGGAUUUCAGCCAGGUUGUGUGCAUGUUAAGGUGUGGUCAAGGGUGUAAAACCGAAAUCUUUAAAAGUGCAAUGGCUCAAGCUAGGAAAAUGCAGCAAUAUUGUGAAUUCAAGGAAAUCCAAUUUGUGUUCUCAACUUCAAUCUGAUGAUCUCACCUAAGUGAUGCUUCUUUUAUGCGUUUACACUUUCCACUUUGUUCUAUUGAUUGCUGUUAGUGUUCGUCUGGCAUUACCCCGUCUGGAUGCUGGAUCAUUAGAUGGGUCUGUUGGCAACAUACUCACAUAAUAAUGGACCCUUUGGGCUAAACUCAUAUUCCGCACACCUAAAUGGAGCAAAGUCUAUUGAUAAAUGGGUGUUUCCUCUCUAAUUUGUGAAGUUUUAGGAUGAGUGUCAGAGGCAAACCUUAUUUGUGUGCUUGGCGAGUCUUUGAAUCAGAAAGACUGUAAAUAUGGUUCUAAUCCUUGUGACAAUUGUCUCAAAGCCUCUUCAUAAAGGUAAACCUUUUAGGUGUCAACUCUCUUGAGGGCGAAAGGAGGUACCAACAUGUGCAUGAUCUUGAGCUGCAUAGUUCUUCUGGUUCCAUCAUCCGCAAUUAUUGAAAGACCACAUGGUAUGGAGGGGCAAAGGUCCUUAACUAUGGACACGGAAUUCUUCAGUUGUGAUGAUCUUGUCAUCUCAUGUUUGUCUUUUCCUUUCAUCUGCUGACAUGUUCCUUGUCUAGAACUAAUUAUUUUCGUGAGGAGAACAAAAUGUGGGUCGACAUAUAAACCAGAGAGGCAUAUGGGAACACACCCUCCAGUCUUGACUGCAGAAGAAAAAGUUUCUUGUUUCAGUUCAACAAAAAUUAACAAUGAAAUAAAAUUAUACAAGCGCAUGUUGCAAUUCUUCUUUCCCGUUUUCAAUUAGUGAUGAAUGCAUAUCAUGACUGCAUCUAAAGUUAGUUUACUUGCAGAUUCAAUUUUUCAAGUAGUAUAUCUUAAGAUACAAUCGAUUGGAUGAAAACCUUUAUUAGGGUACGAUCAUCAGUUAAUCCAACUAUUGAACAUUGCCGGCUUUCUGGCCAGCAAGCAUUGCAUCGAUGGACUGGAUUAUUCAAGUCAUUAGUGGACUGGGAUCUUAGAUCCCCAUUAUGCAAUAGUUUUUGAGAGAGCACAUGGCAAUGCAUCUAUAAUUCGAUACCAAGAGAUUUAACAUGGUUUUAUUAUUCCUGGGUCAGGGACAGCGUUAGAUUCAUUUUGACUUGGACGUGUCAACUGCCCAAUAAUGUUCUCACAGGGCACUUAUCAGUUGUUUCUUUGUUGUAUUUGCUUAACAACUCACGGUGAUGAUUGCGUGUGUGUGUGUGUGUGUGAAUUGCAGCCAACUUUUUGCACUCAGAAGAGUAGUUGGAAUCCGCACGGUUUUGAUGACGACACAGCAUCGCACAAGGCGAGGGAAAUUGACAGUAUUGGCCCAGAAGAAGAUAAUUCAUUUAUUGCCUUCGGAAGUGAGGACAAAAUUGUUCCUCUGAAUGUUAGUGCGUUCAUGAGUCAUUUGAAAAGGAUUGUUUUGGAAAUAUAUUGGACUGGGGGGAUUCUCUUCGGCCUAGGAAAGGAAGAAGAAAAUUUGGGGUAUACCCAUGGUCCUCUGAAGACCACAGAGGAGAGCCCGUACCGUAGUAAAUCUCCAGGUAAGGGCAAAUAAAUUCUGGAAGCUUGUCAGAGGGUAGUAACUGCAGCUCAGAUUGCAUGGGAUUUUAAAGGAAGAACAGCUGUUACAUGGGUCGAAAUAGAUAAAUGAGAAAUAAACAAAUAAUCCUAUAGAUUCCAUAUAUCAAUCGGCAGAAAUCUCCUAUUUUAUAGAAGUGGCAGCUAGUUAAUUAUCGUCGAGCUUGGUUGGCUCUAUGAUAACAUAAGUAUCAAAAUUACAAGUUUGAGUUGUGUCAUAACCGAAAGCGAUUGAUUUGUGCCCUUCAGUCCAACUAAAUAAUGAAUUACCAACAUACUGUUUAGUUGCGGUGAUGGAUUUGCUAUCGUCGAAACUUACAUUAUAGGCAAUACUUGAUGAUGAUGACUUAAAUCAAACAUUCUGUAAUUAAUAGGAAAAUUGUAUGGUUACAAUCAGGGAUAAACGAUGCGAAUUGACUAUCUCUAUCCUUUAAUAUUUAUAAAAGGAUUGGAAGGUGAUUGUCCUUGUUGAGGAAUUUGAGAUGGUCCCCUUAUUGUUUUAAAGAUGACCCUAGUGGCUAUAACACCAGCUAGUUUUUUGGUUACGACUCUAAGCCGUGGACCAUGCCACAUCCUUCUAUGCGAUACAUGCGCAUGAUUGUACAUCAUAAGAGUGAUCGAAUUGGAUAAAGUGAUUUAAGUCCCCCAAAAGAAAGGAAAAAUGCAAGUUAAUGGUGACUUUGAUGCGAUGAGAAACACUAGUUCGAAUUAGACUGCCUGAUGUGGGGUAUUCCUCGUUUGUACAUUUUCCUUGGCUUACACCAUAUCUAUUUAAGUAUUCUUUAUCCCAAAUCUUACAAGGAUUGUACUCAAAUAGUCAUAUUGUUGACUAUAUAUCGUCAUUGCAUGUAUGGAAAUUUCAAAGAACCAUCAAAAUUGGAACCUCUAAAAGAUUUGAUUAUUGACUGUCGAGGAAGAUUUGUACGGUGACUCCAUUUCAAAAUUGGGACUGCAACAAAGUCAUUUGGAAUGUGCAUUCGAAUUUCAAAAAAAAGGGACAUGGUAUUAGCAGAUAACCUAAUGAUCUUAAGUCGAUUUCGAUUAAAUGCUGAGUAUCACGUUGUCUUGUUCUCACAUUUGACUACCAAGACCGAAAUUGGCUUUGUUUUUGGUCAACGGAGGGGGUCUACGUUUCAUGCAUGUUAUGACCACAAAAAAAAAAUGGCAGUAUUUGACCCUCAACCCAAGACUAUUCUGUAGCAUCGCGUAAGAGGUAAAAUAGGUAAAGAAAAUGAAAAAAAGGAAACACGUGAAUUAUGCUUGAUGUCUUUGAGUAUUGUAAUUCAUUUUUUUUGGAGACGCACACUAAAGCCAAACGAUUUGUCUUUUCCGUUUCUUUCCCCGCAAGAGAAAAUAUCGUUUAAGAGAAAUUGACGUUAAUAAUCAAUAAACUUUGAUUCGACAUGUGAUAAUAAUUUAUUCAAUGUAAUCCUUAAAUUAUUCUUUAAACUUGUCAUAGACUUAUUUCUUAAUUCAUAUUUGAUGUGAUGAGCUAUUAUAUAAAUUGGCUAUAUUCCAAAAAAUUGGUCAUACAUGGUUUUAGGGUGGUAAAAACUAAAAUAAUAUGUGUAAAUGGAUUCGCUCACCUCUAUGACUCUCUUUUUCAUCUCUCGCCCUCAUUCAAUCUUAUGCUCACUUUACGCUUUCAUCUCAGUUUUAGCAUGAAUUUUCCUAAAUUAGAUUAAAUAUGAAAGUGUUCUAGUCAUGUGGUUAGAUUUGGUAUUAAUUGGCUUGAUUACGAGUUACUAAAUUUGUAUUGCGUUGAAAUGUGUCAAAAUGAGUUGAACUAUUUUCAACUUAAUCCACUCAUUUGAUGAGUUUACUUUUUUUUAUUAAAUAAGGAAGAAAGUCAUCACAUUUCCCUAAUUUAUUGCCAAAUGUGCAAUCUAGUCACUUAAUUUAUUUUUGUCACUCUAUCAAAUCGAAAUGUAUCUUCUAGAAAAAAAAUUCACGACAAGAUAAAUAAGUUAUAUGACUCAAUUUUUUCUAAAGUCGAAAUACCAUUCUGUGUAACUUGUUCUAUAAAACAUUAUUAGUUACAACAUGAUAUGCCAACAAAUUUUUUAGCCCAAAAGAACAUACUCUCUCCUAAAUUGCAACCUACCAAGUAUGCAAAGUAAAAAUAAUAACCGAAAAAUUAAUCCCAUUAGAUUUGGGAAGCAGGAACCUUUCCCCUGACCCUUUCUGACAGGACAACAAAAAGACACCAACCAGCAAAAAGGAAAUAGCAACUUUUUCUCCAAUUUAAACUGGCUUAACUCACAAGACUGACACGUGGCGGUCGGACACGGCACCCUGACUCUCUGAAAAAAAACAAAUAGAGAGAAAUAAAAAAAUAAAAAUAAAAAUCCUUUUUUAAUAGCAAGAUCGCUGUCUCUUCCUCCUCAGAUUUUAAUGCUCAAAAACCAGUCAGUCUCUCUCUCUCUCUCUCUCUCUCUCUUCUUCCUUCUUCCUUUGGACACAAAUUCCAUUUUCAUUUUCAUUUUUUUCCACCAUUUUUAAACUCUCGAACUCCUCGCAUUCUCUCUCCUUUCCUCCUCUUCUUCCUCCUCCUCAUCUUCUUCGUCUCGCCAGAUCUCUCUCUGUAAUUGGGGUCAAGUCCGCCGGGCAAUCCCGGCGUUUGCCCGUUCGCCGGCCAUCUCGCCGGCAAUGCCGGCUCAGAUCUACUGUCGUUAGCUUGAUGCGCGACUCCGUGUGCUCUUUCUAAUCCUCACACCAACAUUCUGCGGACGGUAAGUGUGAAUCUUGGGUUCGCGCGAAAAAUUUGUGAUUUUGUUGGUGUGCGCUACUGUUCUGUUUAUGUGUGAAUCUCCACUUCAGUUUAGAGUCUGGACUUAGCAGGGCGAGGUAGUGAGGUCGUGUUCUACAAGCAAAGGGGGGGUUCAGGAGUUUGGGAAAUGCUGUGUAAAUGAAUCGUGUUUCAUUUGAGUUAUGUGGGAAUGCUUGGUGUUGGUUCGGAUAAUGCACCGAAAGUGGUUGUUGGGUCGAUUCUUGGCAAACGGGGAAUUAGAAUUACCCGAGUUGUGAGUCGUGAAAUGCUUGCGGAUAGGGAUGGAGGGUUAUUGAAAUUUGGAUAAUAUGAACUGGGUCUCCAUUUUUCAUGCGUUCUCGCGUAGUUUUGUCUGGGAAAUAGUUGAAUGCACCUGCCGAAGUUGCAAAUUUACUCUGGAUGUGGUUGUUCUGGGUCUUCCUAUCUGCUCUUUAUGUAUGUACUUUUGUUUCUGUUCUUUCUAGAUACCUGUAAUUGAGAGAUGGAGGUGGAGAAAAGACGGACAAAGGGAGGCUUCCGACAAUUUUUCGACUGGAAUGGCAAGUCCAGGAAGAAGCUGUUCUCAAACAGUCCUGAUAUACCUGGUGCUGGUACGGCCCACAUUAUCUUUUUAUCAAUUUUGUUAGUCACGGCCGCGCAUUGCUAGCAUAUGAAAGUUUUCUGGUGGAGAUGGCCAUAUAGUGCUAUUAACGUGCUUUGUUUCUUGUUAUAGAAGUAGUUAAGCAAGGAACAGAUGAUGCAGAGAUCUUGGCGAAGUCAAGAGCCUCGUUUAGAAGUCAAAGUCAAUGAUAUUCUCGUGCCAGGAAGUUUCACUGUUUCUCAUUUGAGUAAUCAAAUUCCCAACUAAGUAUAUUACCGGAAACCAGGGUUAAAUCAAGUAUAGCUAUUUCCCAUUUUAAACUAUAAUUGUCACUAAACCUUGAAAUGAUACAGCUUUUCUUUUCAAACUCGUAAAAGUGUUUUCAUAAGUGAAAACAAGAUAAAGAUAUGUGCAUUUUCACAUGGCGAUCAGAUAUCAAAGGGAAAUUAUGCAAGCAAAUUACUGGACCUUAAUCUUGAAGAAGUACAGGAUAUUUCUGCAAUUGAAUGAGUGCACUUCCUGGUCAAUUCUACAAAAUAUUUCUCACCAUUUUGUGUGAUAUGCUUCUGAAUCUCCUUCCAUUUAUCUAAGGAAGGACAAAAAAAUUGAAGAACUGGAGGAUAACCAGCAGCAGCAGCUAUAUCAAAUAAUCAGUACCUGCAGGAAUUCCCAUGACACACAAUAUCAAUCCAGUAAAUGGAAGAACUCAAUAAGACUCUUGAGGUACAACACGGUGCUCAGCUAUAUCAAAUAAUCAGUACCUGCAGGAAUUCCCAUGACAGACAAUGUCAAUCCAACAAAUGGAAGAACUCAGUAAGAUUCUUGAGGUACAACACAGUGCUCAGCUAUAUCAAAUAAUCAGUACCUGCAGGAAUUCCCAUGACACACAAUGUCAAUCCAGCAAAUGGAAGAACUCAGUAAGACUCCUGAGGUACAACACGGUGCUCAUUACGGCAUUGGUAAAACCAAUUAAUGGUGACAAGUUUCUUUAGAACAUUUAAAGCCCACUGCACGAGAACAACAAAUUAAUUGAUAAAUACAGUUUAUCUCUCGAGAUGGUAUUCAUAAAAGAAAUUGCACAGGGAACAUUCAAAAAAAUAUAGAGGAAACUCUUCCUCAGUUCAGCCAACUCAAUCAGAGUACUACUACCCACGAUGCUUUCCAUACUUAGUGAAAAAGCAUAAUGAAUCUCAUUUAAAGUGGUUACACCUCAACGAGAUACAACAAAUUCGCAACUCUUAAACUAAAUUCAAAGUAUUAACUCCAGGACUUAAACCUUGUAUUUUGCAGCCAAAAUAUUCUUCGCAAUUACAAAUCUAAAAUCUGCUUAAGUUUUGGUCUGUAGAACUCCCCCCAUUGAAGUUACCAAUUUCUCAAUCUCAGCCUGCAGAUUCCAGGAAAUGGUGAAACAUUUAAAAAAUCAAGGGGUCACAUAGAAGGAUACAUAGAUAAGGAUAAGUGACGCGCCACACUAAAUUGGAGAGACGAGUAACAACAAAGAUUACAAGCUAAAAAAUCAUUCAAGGCCUAACUUAUCUAGGAACAGGCAUAUCUUCUUAUCCAUCUCAAACCCACAUGUAAGGACUUCGACACGAUCCAUCGCAAGACAAACAAGUAUACCCUUUUUGAGGUAGAGGUCUCCGUUGUUCUUUCGCACACAAAACCACACACUGCGGACCUGCAAGUAACCGAAUUAUCCCCCAUAGAAUCGACAUUUUUUUCCCAGGCAGAAGAACUCCUCUCGACUUGCUUGACCAGCACGUUGACCCCAAUGCUUCCGCUUUCGUUUCUCAACUACAAGUCCUGGUUUAGCAUUUAGCAGCCUCGAGUAAAAAAACCAGAAGAUAAAACUAGGACGAGAACAAGAUCUUCACCGACUAGCUUCCACCCUUUCGCCUGAAGAUCCUCGAACUUCCCCUCCGAAACGACGAGCCCAUACCUCUCGAUACGUAAAAAACAACCUCAAACCCGUUUCUCAAAAAUGAACCCAAAAGCCGUAACGCCGCCCAAUCCCAACGUACUCACGUGAUCGGGGAGAAGAAACGGCGUGAAAAUCGCGGGGCCCACCCCUGGAAGCAACAGCUCCCUUCAGCUUGAGCGCGUCCAACGGCUCGGGAGGCACCAAGUUCCUCGGCAUCAGCACGUUCAUCAUUUCCUUUCUUCCUUCUUGGAAGAGGCUGAAGGAGGAGCGACUUGGGGAAAACUGACGGGAGUGAGCUUUUUCCGAAUUCUUCCCCAAAUUGGGAUUGAUUAGGGUAUGAGAAAGCGCGGGGAAGGGGUUUUUUCUUGGGUUCUUUUCGGAUUUUCCUUUUAAUUCCCCUUUUUUGCUCUUAAUUUUGCUCUUAAUUUUGUGGAUAAUUUCUCAAAAGCCCUCUAACUUUUGCACCGUUACAUGACUGCUCUCCAACUUUGAAAAAGUUUACAUGCCCUGCGUGGCCGCCGGCCUAGAAGGGCCACGAAAAGAAAAUAAAAGAAAAUAAUUCAAAAUGAUUCGGCCGAGAGAAGCGACGAGCAAUUGAAGCGAGCGUGACCAAGCCUUCUAGAAUAGGUGAGCUGUCGUGUGAGAGAGAGAGAGGCCUAACAGAAAAAGAUUCGGCUGAGAGGAGCGCGGCUGAUUUGGCAGAGAGAAGGGGGGAUGCUCGACGACGGGGACUGAUGAAAAAAAGGUAUCGUUCGGCCGUGGGGUACGGACAUCCGCGGUCAAACGCUUGUCUCUGGGAACUCCAUUGCUUGGCUUUAUUUAAAACGGAGCCGAAACGAUAGCAGGGUCUCGUUUCCCUGGUCCACGAUCACGCUCGUUUUGAAUUAGCUGUCCCUUUUGUUGUGUUUGAGCGUCACUUGCUAUUCUCUUUUGAGUCUGGACACGAGCUAGAGUUUAGUCCGUGCUCAUCACACGCUCGAUAUGAUGCCUUAGUGUUGUUCUAAAGAUGAGACCGGGGUUUUCUUUUCUUCUGUGAAAGCAUGUCGAGGAUCCAUUUAAAUAUUUUUUCAUCGAAUUGAAAUGUCUUUGAUUUGAUGUGGGAUGAAUGAGGCGCUAAUCGUUUCCUCGNNNNNNNNNNNNNNNNNNNNNNNNNNNNNNNNNNNNNNNNNNNNNNNNNNNNNNNNNNNNNNNNNNNNNNNNNNNNNNNNNNNNNNNNNNNNNNNNNNNNGUCGGAACUCCGACUACAAGCACUAUGACUGUAUUACUUUCAGUUAGACACCUGAAACUCAUUCUACGAAAUGUUCCAAGAAAUAUGUAAGAAAUAGCUGCUGUUUCUGUUCGAAUCUGAAGGUGCUGGUCAUUAACUUGAUUUCCAUGAAUAAUGAGAUCGCUAUGUUGUAUUUUGUUUGAUAUAUGUUGUGUCUCCUUCAUUGAAUGGGAUGAGUGGACGGUGUAGUGUGAUGGAAGAUGUUGGAAAGUGAGCUCGUUUUAUUUCGGUGGUGGUCCAUGCUGGUCGGAACGGAUGACCGGCGGGGUGCCGUCAUGUAAGCUCUGCCUGGGUGUAUGAGUUCGAAAAAAUGAGAGAGAAGAAGUUGCAUAGAAUGAAAGCUUCAGAGGAAGAAGAUGACCAUAAGAAAAGGAUGAAACAGGGGAAAAGACAAAAAGAGAAAAGAAAAAAUAAUAUUGGAAAUAUCUAAAAUUGGUUUCCUUUCGGACGCCGGUCGGAUCCAAGUUGUCGGAUUGGGUUAAUGGUCUGGAUUGGAUUACCGGCUCGUUUUCCAAAAUAUUAUAAUAUCAAAUAUUAAAAAAAAAUUAAAUUUUAAAUUAAAGAAAAAGAAUAUUAAUAAUGAUAUUAAAAAUUAUAAUAAUAUAAAAUGCUAAAAAUCGAAACCUAAUCAAGUAUUGUUUUCUGCACUUGAGCUUAGGCUCAAGUUGACUCAAUCCUCACAUAACUAGGAGUUAGCAGGCCUAGAAAUAAAACUUGGCAGCAAAAUUAUGUAAGCUGAUCAUCUAGUAGUUACUUCAUGCGAAGAAUAAAAAAUGCUAAGCAUACACCACGGCUAUACAAAGAUAAAAAGGCAAAGAAAGAAGCUAUGGCAUACCAUUUUGAGUAUAGCAAAUUCCUACAUAAUCUUCACAGCUCAAAGCCAAGAGUCAGGUAGAAUCGUAAGCAUAGAAUACGACUCUAAUCGAAAUGCAUCCAUUUGUCUCAUACACUAUGGGGAUGGUGAGAAGAGAUAUAUUUUACAUCCCAGAGGGGCUAUAAUUGGAGAUACCAUUGUUUCUGGUACAUAAGUUCCUAUAAAAAUGGGAAAUGCCCUACCUUUGAGUGCGGUUUGAACUAUUGAUUUACGUAAUUAGAAGUCACCAAUUAAGUUUACGACGAAACCUAGAAAUCGAUCACUGAUCCAAUUUGAGUACCUCUACAGGAUAGACCUCUACAUGACAACUAGAUGAGAAGGGAAAAUGGACCAGAUCUACAUGGCAAUAUGACUGCCAAACUAAUAAACACUAUAUUAAAAUGAGGCAUGUAAUUAUCAUCCCUUCCAAUCCCAUUCAACAAAAUAAGGAAUCUCUACAACACAAUUUAAGCACUAAAAAGGCUGAAAAAAAAAUUAUUGUUGGUCCAAGCCAAUAUUUUCACAGUUUUAUAAUAUGCAAGAAUAGUCCAAUUUCUCUAGGAAUAGGAAGCUGUGUAGAGAAGACCCCAGAAUCGGGCAAAAGGUAAUAGUGUGAUGUCAAUAAUCAAUCCAAUCAAUGCUUUUCCUUGUCACAUAAAUGUCCAGAGCGAGAUAUGCGUAUGAAUCAUGAAACUCUAUAACAAAGGGCCAGAUCACCGAAUUGUUCUUCCAACUAAACUAGUCCAACCAAUUUAUGGUGGCUUCCCUCCAAACUUUGGUAACCAAAGCAAGAAAACUAUGACUACCUAGACAGUCUAUAUAUUCAUUCGCAGUCAACCCAUUUCCGACUUCCUUCCAACAUCACCAACAAAUUCAAAAGACCAAGCAUUCGGUAAAUGACUUACAUAUUUGUCAGCACUUAUUAGCUGAAAAGGAAUGUCUUCAGGUACGGAUUGACAGUCUCAUAACGCAAUAGCUUAAUUUCUCGAGUGAAGUAAUUCCAUCAAAGCGAAAGAAGAUUAGAUACCGUUAUCAUUUCGAUCAAUCAAAACAUAUUUUCUCAACAAAAUCGAAUGAUUAUUCCUUAAAUUUGAGGAGGUUUCAGUGUUAUGUUAGGGAGGGAGGGAGAGAGAGAUGAACUAACCUUUGUUGUAGUAACUAGAAGAGAAGAGCGAAGUAGCGCGAGGAGAAGCUCUAAAUACAAGAAAUUGUGAAAAAAGUACUUUUUCUGCAACAUAAAUACAGUCUUAGUUAAUAGUAAAUUCCUUUUAUGUAUAUUUAGUAAAAUAUUAAAAUGAUCAUAACAUUCUUUAUAUUUUGUAAAGAUUUGCAGCCAAUGUGUCAAUAGUUUUCUUUACUUGUGAUGACUUUUCUCAAGCAAAACAAAUUUGACGAAUUAUGCUUUCGCCCUCUUUAUCCAGCUAUCCACAUUGAAUGUAAGACCGAUAUCAUAAAAGAGAGCUUUGACUUGUGAAGUUUCCAUGACAAUCAUAAUGUUUUGUGCACAAUAGAGUAAUAGUAAGGCAUUGUUGGAAACGCUAUUUUGCCAUUUUUUUUUUUAAAUCGUUCAAUUGAAAUAUGAAUAUUCAUAUAUAUAUAUAUAUGUAUAUAAAGGUAAAAUCGUAAAUUAAAGAAAAGGUAUUACUUUGCGGAUAAACAGCAACGGAAAAGAAAUUUGAGAUACGCACCGUAAAUCUAAAACUUUUAGUACGACAUGGAGGUCUCGUGUUUGCAAGGCGAGCCUUCGCACCGAACUUUUUUCUGGUGUCAAAUGAAACCAGAAAAAAGUCGUAGAGCGGGCCGAAAAUAGAACUUAAACAAACUUCAGGGGCGAAAACGGAAUUGUCAAAAAAAGAACUGAAAAAUAUGGCUCCAAAUCUCUCUCAUUCUCCGGCGUACAAAAUUGGAAAACGAAAAACAUCAAUCCCGCCAUCGCUGGGAAGGUUCUGGAACAAGAGCACUUUGAGCUCGCUUGAAUAUCCGAUUCGAGACUAGAGAUCGAUUUGAUUCUGACUCGGGCAUCAUCAAUCGAUCGAAUCGCUCGAAUAGGUUGAGAUUCCAUGGAGGGAGCGGGGCUCAGAAGUAGAGAAAGCUCGGCUGCUGAGCUCGGCUCUCGAGUUCGGAUUCGACGAGCAAUCCGCCAACAAGUGCUUGGACCAUCUCGUUUCGUGCUCUACAGUGACUCGAAUCGUUAUUUCGUCGCGCGUUCUUAUGCUAAUUAGCAUUUGCGGAGAUUACGGAGGUGGCUCUCGUCCCCACGAUGAUGAUGACGAUGGCUGUGGAAUCGUCUUGCUUUAGGUUUGAAUGCAUUGGAGCGGGUUUAGCGAAGUAGCAGUCCUACUGACGAGCGAAAUCUCCGGCACUGGUCCAGCUUGAUGUGCUUAGGUUACUUCGGAUGGACGGCGGUUUUUUCUUGAUUAUUGGCCCAAACUACGUGAUGUCUGGUCAUCAGGGAAUGAAUGACUUUAAUCGCUUGUGUUGCGGGGAUAGUUUGUGCAUUUGAUUGAACGUGCAUUCCUAGUUAAGGAGAUUCUUUGCGGUUAGUCUCGAUUCUGAUGAUGGCUAUGGAAUAACGGUCUACUUUGGAUUUGAAUGGGACCAGAGUUUAGGUCAUUGAGCGUUAGUCUCAUCCCCUGUUUCUUUGUGGGUUUGGCGGAGUAGUCCUAUUAACAAGUGAACUGUCUAGCUUAUAUCACUGCAAAUUACUUAUGGUAUCUUGCAGUAAUAGCAAUAUCGUGUCUCUUUGAACUAAGUGCAAAUUACAUAUUGGAAAUUGUAUAUAUUUGAUCUCUUGUUUGCCAUGGAUCUUGCAAAAUCAUCUCUUUCUUCUUUUGCUUUUCUCAAGGUGAUGAAGGUCGAGAGUUGAUCACCGUGGAGCACUGUGGCAAUGACACCCUAGCAGAACUUGUUGAAACCAUGCAAGAUUCUUAGGAUUGGGAUGAUUUGCAAGCUGUGGAAUCAGAAGCUCGUGGAGUUUCGACCAAUAUGUUUGGCCAAGAUAUUUGUAAUGAUGGUGAAUGCAAUGUUAUACACGAUGUCAAUAUUAUAGAAGAUUCUCCACAACGUGUGAAAAAUCAAACUUUCAUUGAGGUGAGGAUUCCUCUACUGACGGUGAAGACAAAGAUGAUGUAUUGGGCAGUAAAACGGGAAGGAAAUCCUCAUGUAUAUUCCUGGCCAAAGCAGUACUCUAAGCAAUACAUCCACUCAAAUUCUGGGUAGACAAUCUUUAGAAUCCAUGGUAUGCUUCUCCGUAUGCUUCUCCCAUGGACAUAGACAAUAUUGCCAAACCACUUAAAUCAGUGUGUGACUGUACUUUUCUCUUAUAAUUUAUUCUCUGCUUGAUCAUUUCCAAUUUGCUUGUGAUUCAGCACACAUCAAAGGACCUACACAAUGGUCAUGUCCAAAAGCAUUUGGUAAAUUGCUUAUGGAGUCUCUCAUCCAAUCAACUGUCCAAUAGACAGUCAUAACUUUUGCCACUCACUUCCACACUUUUCAAGAUCCUAAAUGACAUAUUAGAACUCUUUGGUUAAUAAAGAAGUUAAUUGCAGUUUUGGAUGAUGUACAAAUACAUAAAUUUCUCAAAUGCCAUGAGAGUACAGCAGAUCAUCAAAGUGUGGAACUUAGCAAUCCAGUGCCUUUGAUAGGAAUGUUUUGUGUAAAUGAAGGCUUGUAAUUUCUUUGAGCACAUUUUUCAUUUUCCAUGACAAUCCAUGUCAGAAACUAUUACGGUACGGAAGAGGCUUAUUUCUGUUGGACUAUAAGAGCACUGUCACUCAAGGCUCAAUAUCAUUAGUUUCAAAUAAAAUACAUUGCUCUCCAAUUUCGACAUCCAAACAAGGGACUUUGAGUUAUGCGGAAUUCCAAGCCUUGGAUGACUUAGAAUUGGCAAAUGUUGUCAUAUUCAAAAACAAGGCAUUUCGACCAAUGCAGCAUCAGGCUUAUAAAGCUUUUGUAGCCAAGCAAGUUUGCUUUAUUCUCAUGUCCACUGGAGGUGGUAAAAGUUUAUGUUACCAGGUUAGUGAAUGUUAACAUUGUCACAACUGGGUGAUGAUUGUAUGUAGAAGUGUGUGGACACAAUGUUAGAGCACAAGCCCUGUGCACUUUGCUCAGUGGUUCUACCAAUUAAAUGUUUAAGGGUAGACUUGUAUGUCAACAUUUAAGCUUUAACAUGAUCUUCUGAUCUACUUUGUUUAGCAUUUUUAAGAAGAUUGCGAACUUAAGGAAGGAAAUGUUUUUCAAAUGAAAAUUAAGCUAUAGGAAGUGAUUCAGGUACAUAAGCAUGGGUUCCAACGUAUGGCAUCGGACAAAAGUAGAAAAGAAGGAGAUACAGUACAAUCUCGUUCUGCCUUUGCACUUCUCUAUCUGGUCUGUAAUUUUUAGGAUUUGAAGUUUGUGCUACACUUCUAGGACCUUCUAAUCGCUUACAGGAAAAUUCAUCUUGUUUAUGUAUGUUAAGUGUUGCUGUCAGUCAUAAUUCAGGUCCAAUCAAAAGGGUUAUAAGUCAAAGAGAAUCNNNNNNNNNNNNNNNNNNNNNNNNNNNNNNNNNNNNNNNNNNNNNNNNNNNNNNNNNNNNNNNNNNNNNNNNNNNNNNNNNNNNNNNNNNNNNNNNNNNNGAUAACUGAAUUAAGGAGAAGAUAUAAUCUGGAUUUAUUUAGUUGAAUUCAUAGAAGUGUUUUCUGUUUAGUCUUGAAGUAGUUGAUAUAUGUACUGAAAGUAGUUAUAAAACAAGUAGUGACAACUAGUCCUUCCUGAUCAGCUGAAGGUGAAAGGAAUAAUAAUUCUGUUGUCCCUUCCUUUCUUCAUUUGCUCUUCUGAUGUUUUUACCCUUCGUUUCAGCUGCCAGGAACUCUAAAACCAAGUGUCACAGUUGUUAUAUCUCCCUUGCUAUCUCUCAUCUUGGAUCAAAUAGUUACUGUAACCCUCAAGUACGGCAUACAAUCUACUUUCUUGAACUCUCAACAGACUGCUGCCCAAUUGGCAGUUGUCCUCAGAGAACUAAGGCAAGGUUUAGCUCUAUUGGACUUCUAAAACUUUUAUGCUGAGUGUUGUGACUGUCGAAUUAUUAACCUCCACUUCUGCUUUGCCUGCCCUUUGAGAACAGAUAAACAUCGUGCAAGCUAUUGCAUGUGACUCCUGAACGGAUUGGGGGAAAAAUAUCAUUUCUCGAGAUAUUGAAAUGCUUGCACAGAAAGGUAUUGUUUUUGAUGCACUGUAACUUUUUUCCAAAAAGGUUCUUUAUAAUUUUUUAUAUUCGAUGAUAUUUUAUUGCAGGCACAACUAGCUGGUUUUGUUGUUGAUGAGGGACAUUGCAUGAGGUAUGCGUAAUCUUUGGCAUGCCUUGUACAUGAAGAAAAAUCAUGCUAGAGUUACUUCAAAAAGAAUAAUCAUUUGUGAUGUUGCCACUGCAAAACUAUUGUCCUUAUUCCAGAUAAAUAUAAGCAACUUUCCUUUUAUAUAAGCUAACUUAAACUCUUUUUCCAAACUUUUUUGCAUUUUCUGUGUUUCUAGCCUUAUAAAUUGUCAAUGUUGCCCUAGACCUUUUGAAGCCCCUGUGAAGUUCUAAUAUAACACAAUGGAAUGUUCCUUGUUUGAGCUUUGGAAAAGAUCUAGGUUCUGUCGUUUGGGAAAAUUUAGUGGCACAUCAUCAUUAUAUUGAGUAAGAGGACUCAACUUAAAUAAGCUGCAAUGGAAAUGACUUCCUAAAGUAAUUGGAAGUGGCAUAAGCUUGGACAAGGAUGCCAUCUACUGUCUAUGUUUGGCAUGAUACUCCAUCUCUUCAGCUGGUUCCUGUGUAUCUAUUUAUUCUACUAAUGGUUACACUCACGUGAUCAUUGAUUGUGUUCCUUACAAGGUAUUAACUGGAUUUGCUUGGCCAGUUUAAUCUCAUGAAAGGAAGAUGCCAUCUGCUAUCUAUGUUUGGCAUGAUACUCAGUCUUUUAAGCUCGUUCUUGUGUAUCUAUUUAUUCUAUUAAUGGUUAUACUAUAUACUGACAACGUGAGAAAGGCAAGGGUCCACCACAUGAUCAUUGAUUGUGUUUCUUAAAAGGUAUUCACUGGAUUUGCUCUGCCAAUUUAAUCUCAUGAAAGGAACGUGUUGCUAAUUUGAGCUUUUAUUGUACAUUUGCCUGAUUGACGACAAGAGCUCAUUAGUUGUCACUUUCGUGGUUGUCAUGAAAGGAACGUACUGCUGGUUUGAGCUUUUAUAUAUGCUAACUUAAGCUCUUUUUCCAAACUUCUCUGCAUUUUCUGUGUUUCUAGCCAAUUUAAUUGUCCAUGUUACUCUAGACCUUCUGAAGCCCAGAACCCUAUGAAGUUUCUAUAUAACAGAAUGCAGUGUUCCUUGUUCGAUGGAAAGAUUUAGGCUCCGUCGUUUGGGAACACUUAGUGGCACAUCUUUCAUUAUAUUGAGUAAAGAGUGCACAACUUAAAUAAGCUCCAGUGGAAAUUAUUUCCCAGAGUAAUUGGAAUCGGCAUAAGCUUGGAUAAGGAUCCAAUCUCCUAUCUAUGUUUGGCAUGAUACUCUUAAGCUGGUUCUUGUGUCCCCGUUUAUUCUAUUAAUGCUUAUACUUUAUGGUAACAACUUGAGAAAGGCAAAGGUUCAACCAUGUGAUCAUUGAUUGUGUUUCUUACAAGGUCUUAACUGGAUUUGCUCUGCCAGUUGAUCUCGUGAAAGGAACAUGCUGCUGGUUUGAGCUUCUCUUGUACAUUUGACUGAUUAACGAGUAAAACUCAAUGAUUGUCACUUUUGUGGUUGUCAUUAUUAGUCAAGGGGGACACGAUUUUCAUCUAGAUUAUAGGGUACUAGGAUGUCUCAAGCAGAACUUUCUGUAUGUCCCAGUGAUGGCCUUAACUGCAACCGCCACUCUGUCAGUUCAUGAGUACUAAACUCACAUAUUAACCUCCUGAUUAUGUUGAAAUAAUCUGUUAAUUCUGACUGAAUUAUACAUCCAUCGCAGGAUAUCCUAAAAGCUCUUGGGGUACCCCAUGUUCUGAUAUAUUAGAUCUAGUCUGUCAAAGCUUGGGGACCUAAGGUUUGACAGACUAGAUCUAAAAUACGAGGUCAUAGCUAAGACCUAGGAACCACUGAAGCAGCUUGGAGGGCUGCUAAAAAAUUGUUUUGCUAAUUUUUGUGGCAUAGUAUAUUACUUUUCGUUAAUGUCGCAAAAUACUUGAAUGAGAAGCGCCAUAUAAAAAUGGUGUACUAUCAUGCUGGAUUAGUAGCUCGUCACUGUUCAAAAGAAAUGGCAUACUAGAGAGGUCCAGAUUGUAUGUGCUACCAUUGCCUUUGGGAUGGGAAUAGACAAAUUGUAAUUCGAAACGGACUCUGGCCUUUGCCUAUUUCUUACGUUUUAGAAGUCAAUAAAUGUGGUAAAAAGACCCAGAGAAGCAGAGAAGAGGAGGGUGGCCAGAUACAAGCUUUAUUUGGUCGAGGGCAAGUUCAAGGCUUCUUUCAAACAAGGGUUCCGGUGGUUGAAGCGCAAAUUGCUCGAGCUUUAUGCGUCGAUUUUUAAUAUGUAGAAAUCACAGAAUAUCAUGCUGAUUGUCAUCAAGAGAGAAAAGGAUGAAAUUGGUCGGGAGGAAACAAAGAGGUUUGUUUUGUUUAUUGGCUAAUCAUCUUAAUAUGUAUCUAAUGGUAAUUAAGUAUUCGGAGGAGUGCCACAAUGUUUGAUCUUUCCAGUAUAAUGUUUGUUCAAAUCCUUGUUUCUUUCAUUGAUCUCUAGCAUUCGAAACAUAGGGAAAUGAGACGACUUGUAUGUGAUAUUCACAUAUAUUUAUAUUUAUCAAAAGUUAUUUUUCCCCGAAUUUCCUUACCUUCCAAUUUAUCUGCAACACGAUUCUGCAUGCAUGCAUGCUUUCUCGUGCGAAGUAAAAAUUGUCGGAUAUGCUAAUUUCUCUUCUCAGCGACACGAUGUUGAUUGCAAAAUAAGAUGACUGCUUUCAUUUGUAGGAUUUGACGUUUACACGAAAGUAGAUUUCGUUGUUAAGAACCUUUUUUUUUUUUUAUCAAAUGUUCUUUUAAGUCUCUGUUUUGGGGUUCAUUAACGCUGUAAUUCCUCAAUUUGUCUAUUUCGAUUCCUUUGCAUCAUAUGAUUUUAUCAUAUGGCAAACUACCAAAUCUAUACAUUCUAACAUGCAGCUAGCAGGUGUUAAGGCCUUCUAUACUUCCAUUCUGAUUCAAGGAUUCAUAUUUCAAGUACUGUCUUGUCGAGUUUGGAGUUACAAAUGUGAGGAAAUCAAAGAGCUCGAAGCGAACCUUCUCUUGUCCUUUGGGAACUUACGUAGUUAUUGUUUGAAUGGCUGUUAUUCAUAGGAUAUUGAUGUAAAAUGUGAUAAGAACUUUCAAAAACAAGCACGAAGCAAAUUGUUAGCAUGAAAUGAAAGUAGAAGAGAAAAAGGGGGGGAACCCAUGAACAAAACCACAUCAGCUCAAUCGGUUCAGAAUGUUCAUCCAAUUAUCCGGUCUAUUUACGCGUUCCAACUUCAAACCAAUUCGGCUGAUGGGGCUGUGAACGAUGUUCCAUAAGUAGUCAAACACAAAGCUAUUGCCCUUUGGAUUAAUUUGCCUAGACACUGAUUAAGCAGCUAAGUAAAUAAAGUGUAGAGCUGAUACAUUGACUUUACUCGCGACUUUUCUCGUGUAAUGUUCAACCAAUAUUCUGAAAUUAAAUUAUUUCAUAUUAAGGAUUUUUAACAAGUAUUUCAACACGACCCGCAUUGCAUAUGUGUUAAUACUUAUAGAUUCAAAUGCAGCUUAACAAGCUACUUGGCCUUGUCUUGAGCUCUGGAAAAAUUGGGUCAAAGUUCAAGGGGAUAACAAGCAAAUCAAACCAUGAAUACCUUGCAAGUAGCUUUCAACUACUAAAAUUCCACUACUGUAGAUCAAACCAUGUACAGGGUACAGGAAUAUCUAAGAGUGGCCUCCAAGAAAUUGCUUCGAUUGAAACUUGAAUGUGUGAACAGUGACUGCAAUUUGGUGGGGUGUCGUCUCAUUAUAAACCAAUUAGAUGACCCUUAGAAGUUUUUUGUUCAAAGACAAUGAGUAAAUUUUGGAAAGGGCUCUUUUCACCCUUGCAAAAAUUUUGUCCACGUUUUAUCAUUAGUCUUCAACUGCAGCCAAUGCAAAAGAAAAAUAGGUUUCAGGUGUGAAAAUAUAUACGGUUGGGUCUCUUCAGCUUUUAGAUUCAUGCUUAAAUAAAUCAAGUUUGAGAUUAUACAAUAAAAAAGUGAUUGCAAAAUGCGGACAUAUGAAUUUUCUGAUAUAACACCAGACCAGAGAGAUGAUUUUACACUACUGAACACCUUUCUUUUGUGUUCAAAAUUCAACCAAAUGAAAAACUACUGUCUUCUUGUAAACCUUUUCACUGAAACUCUUGGCUGCAAUUGACAGAUUUUUGCUGAUUCCAUGGCAUUCGAUUUUUCUAGUUGCAAAAUUGUAGCCUGAAGUGGACAUCUAACUGGUAAUCUCCUUGACAAAUCUCAUUUUAUGCUUAACUUGCACAAAUAAAAUCACCUGCAUGUGCAGUCUUCCUGCAAGCGAUAUGUGCUUGCAAAGGACAAAUAAUCGACAUGAGAAGAGGUUGCUUCAUAUCCAGAAUCCUUUGAAGAGUAUUGACAACAAGGAGCACAUGAUAAACGCCACUAGGUUUAGAUACAUUUUCAUAAUGACAUAGCUCAUUCCUGCCUACAUCUCCAUCGUGUAGUCUUUAGGGACUUUCCUCCAAGUUCCAUGAAACGCAACUUGAAUCUACAUGAUGAGCAUAGGACUGACUCAUUAUCAAUAAAUAAAGAAAUGCGAGAUUGAGCAUCACAAUUUACCCCAUGAAAGAUAAGGUACAAAUGCGAAAACACCAUUUACACCAAUCAUUGUUCAACCACAGUGAACAGAGACUUCAUCAGCUAGCAGAUGAAAAAGAAAAAAAAUAGGCUUAAAAGAAGUAAACAAUUAGCAACAACACUUUCCUCAUUUGUGUUCAGGAACAAAAUUGAUGUUAAUAAAAUUAUGCUGAAAAGGUGAAAUGCGUAAACUACAGAACAAAAAGACGUACUUGUUACUUGAUCAUUGGCAAUAUUGAAUCAACAAAAAUCAGUAAUUCGGGAUAGAUUGUGAGGAGGUCAGUUUCAACUUCACUAAUUCAAUACUGCAAACAUGAGAGCUGAGCUUAUCAAAUCAGAAACCUAUAUGACAACAUUCAAAGGAUAAACAGAUAGAAAUGGAGGAGCUUAGUGCAUACCUACCUCUGCAUAGCCUCAUAAGUUCAGGAGUGAUAUCCCUAGAAUGCAACCACACCAAACAACUCUGCAUCAGGAUAACAUACACAAAAAUCACCAGCUACUCGUUUGAUUAACAAAGAGAUAGAACCUAGCGAGCAUACAAACAACAGUUCAAUUUAAAAAACUACAUUUACUAUAUUUAGGUACAUGCUGUUGAGACCAGAUCAAGUGCUUUGGAUCUUCACAAGCAUCAAAACUUCCUCAGAACAUUCUACUUGGCCCAUGAGCCUCUUCAAGUUUGGCACCUCAGCUGUUGCUGAUGCUUUCUCUGCAAAAUUGGUCUUGGGUUUGGAAUUUGAAGUUCCUCAGCCGAGUGAGCCACACCUAAUUCAAUCAUGUGAUAAAAUAAUUCCAUGACAACAAUAUGAUCAAAUGGGAUGUAAACUAAUCAGCAAAUUCUUGAGCUCCUUGCCCCAGCUUGUUUCACAGCUGGGCAAAAAAUUGUCUAGUUAUGCGAAAGGUCAUCAAUACAACUGAUUGAAUUUAAGUCCCAAAGUAAGCCUUGAUCAUUACAUAGACCAACCAAACCUGUAAUAGAAGUAGCACUAGUUUACCUUGCUUGAUAAUAUUUCAAGACAACAUUUUGACUACUGGUAAUUUUAAGAAAGGCGUACAUUCAUAUAUGAUAGACUAGCCAAAACUACUUUAACAUUUCUUAAUCACCAACCAAAAAUACACCGAUUCUCGUUCAAGAAAAAGACCCUAUAUAAACUCCAUGCACACUAGAGACUUAGGCAAACCUUUGAUCGAGAAUUUGCAUAAAACAACUCAAUACUCCACUCCAGACCCCAGUACUUGAUCGAGAAUUUGCCAAGCGGUGCAAGCUCCAUGCGUCCACUUGAGAGAAUCUGGAAGGGGAAAAGUGAUGCUGCUCUUCAAGAACGAACUGGUCUCUCUACUUGGUUUAAGGUAUGAAAAUGUACAUGGCUAUGUCUCUUCUGCUUUUAGAUUCGUGCUUAAAUAAGUCAAGUUUGAGAUAAUACGACCAAAGCGAUUGCAAAAUGCCUACAUAUGAAUUUUCCGAUGUAACCAGCCUAGAAAGAUGAUUUUACACUAAUGAACGCCUGUAUUUUCUGCUCUAAGUUCUUCCAAACGAGAAACUACUGUCUUCUUGAAAGCCUUUUCAUUGAAACUCUUGGCUGCAAUUGAUGGAUUAUUUGCUGAUUCCACGGCAUUUGCUUUUCUCUCCCCCAGUCUCAAAACUGUAGCUUGAAGUGGACAUCUAAAUGGUAUUCUUGUUAACAAAUCUCAUUUUUUGCUUGACUUCACAUAUAGAACCACUUGCACAUGUGGUCUUCCUCCAAGCGAUUAGUGAUGGGGCCUUGGUUAAAGAAUAGCAAGAUUUCAAAGCUUGCAAAGGACUAAUACACCACAUGAGAAGAGGUCGCCUUUAUCAAGAAUCCUUCGAAGAGUAUUAAACAACAUGGAGCAAAUGAUAAACGCCAAUUGCAAAUAACUUUGGAAUGCCUUUCCAUACUGGCAUAGCUCAUUCUUGCCCAUAUCUCCAACCCGUGGUGUUUGGGGAGUUUCUUCGAGUUUCAUCAAAUGUAGCUUUAAUCUGCAUAAGGAAGAUAGCACUGACUAAUUAUAAUUAAAUGAAGAUAUCCAAGAUCAUAGCAUUAGAAUUUACCCCAUGACAGAUAAGGUAAAAAUGUGUAAACAUUGACACCAAUUGGAGUUGCACCACAAUGAACAGAGACUUCAUUAGCUGGCCAAUGACAAAGAAACCAACAGACUUAAAAGAAGUAAACAUUUAGCAACACUUUCCCUGUUUGUGCUUAGGAACAGAAUUGAAACUAAAAAAAUUACGCUGAAAAGGUGAAGUGCCUAAACUACAGAACAAAAAAAGAUGCAUUUGCUACUGGGUUAUUUUGCAAGUACCAAUUAGCAAAAUCAGCAAUGCGGGAUCGUUUGCGAGGAGGUCAAUUUCAACUUUACAUAUUGAAUGUUGCAUACAUCAGAACUGAGCUUAUCAAAUCAGAAACCUAUAUGACAACAUUCAAAGGAUAUCAUCACACGAAUAAACUAAUAGAGAGAGGAGCCUAGCAGUGCAUACCUCCCUCUGCAGAGCCUCAUCAAUUCCGAAGUGAUAUCAUUAGAAUGCAACCGCGUCGAACAACUGUGCAUCAGGGUAACAUACAAAAAAUCAGUAGCUUAGUAUUUGAUUAAAGGAGAGCUAGAACCUAAUGAGCAUACAUAAAACAUAUUUAAUUGAAAAAAAAAAUACAUUUACAAUCGUUUAGGGAUGUGAUGUUGAUAUCAGAUCAAGUAUUUGAAUAUUCAGAAGCAUCAAAACUUCAUUGGGACACUCCAGUCAGCCCCAGAGUGUCUUUAAGUUUGGCAUGCAAGAUGGUCCUCAGCUGUUGCAGAUGCUUCCUCUGCAAAAUCCCUCUUCUUUAUUUUGAUCGGUCUCAAGUAUGGAAUUUGAAGUUCCUCAGCCGACUUAGCCACGCCCAAAUCAAUCAUGUGAUAAAGCAAUUCCAUGACAACAAUAGGAUCAAAUGGGAUACAAACUAAUUAGCAAAUUCUCGAGCUCCUCAUCCUAGUUUGUUUCACAGACAGGCAAAAAAUUGUCCUUUAAUGCAAAAGGUCAUUGAUAGAGUUGAUUGAAUUGAAGUCCCAAAGCAAGCCUAGAUCGUCAUAUAGACCAACCAAACCUGUCAUAGAAGCGGCACCAAUUUACCUUGGUUAAUAAUCUUUCAAAUCAAUAGUUUGCCCGCUGGUAAUGUUAAGGUGGUCAACAUUCAUACAUGACAAACUAGCCAAAACUACUUUAACAUUUUUUGUCACCAACCAGAAACACUUGAACCUUGAAUUUUAUUUUAGCUCAGUUCACCAUAUAUACUGGGAAGUGAUGCUCUUCUUAGAGGGUUAGUGAGGGCCAUCAAGGGAACAAU